UGACGCACUUCCAGAAGCUGCAGUUUAGCCCCGUCUUUUCCAUCUCCUACUCAUUCCGCCUUCCGGAUCCAGCCAGGCGUCGUUGGUACCCUGGAUCCUGUCCCUGAGCCAAACAGUGUCCCUCGAGGUCAGCGACAGCUUCUUCUGAGUUCACUGCAGUCCAACCGGCUCCCUACCCGCCGCCAUUAUGAACAUCCGCAACGCUCGGCCGGACGACCUGAUAAACAUGCAGCACUGCAACCUCCUUUGCCUUCCUGAGAACUACCAGAUGAAAUACUAUUUAUAUCAUGGCCUUUCCUGGCCCCAGCUUUCUUACAUCGCUGAGGAUGAGGACGGGAAGAUUGUGGGCUAUGUCCUGGCCAAAAUGGAGGAGGACCCAGAUGAUGUCCCGCAUGGCCAUAUCACCUCACUGGCCGUGAAGCGUUCACACCGGCGCCUCGGCCUGGCCCAGAAGCUGAUUGACCAGGCCUCCAGGGCCAUGAUAGAGAAUUUUAACGCCAAAUAUGUGUCUCUGCAUGUCAGGAAGAGUAACCGGGCAGCCUUGCACCUCUAUUCUAACACCCUUAACUUUCAGGUUAGUGAGGUGGAACCUAAAUACUAUGCAGAUGGGGAAGAUGCUUAUGCUAUGAAGCGGGAUCUCUCGCAGAUGGCAGAUGAGCUGAGACGACAAGUGGAGCUGAAGAAGGGCGAGUAUGUGGACCUAGGCUCCAGGGAGAACCAGGAGACCCAGGGCUGCACACUUUCUGGUUCUGAAGAGGCCUGUCAGCAGAAGAACCCAGCUACCGAAGAUAGUGGCAGUGACUGCAAAGAACCUAACGAGUCUGUGGAGAGCACCGAAGUCCAGGACAGCUCAGAAAACUCAGAUUCUACCUCCUAGAGCAUGCUUAAGUUAUGGAGGCCAGGAAAUUCAAUAUCAAGGUACUGGCACCUUGCAAGAGCUUUCUUGCUGCAUCAUCCCAUGAAGGUAAGAAGGUGAGAGAGGGUUUGAGAGCAAUAGAGACAAGGGGUCAAACUCAGCAUUUUAUCAGAAAACCACUUCUGAGAUAACUAAUCCAUUCCUGAGAUAAUGGCAUUAAUCCAUUCAGGAGGGCAGAGGCCUCAUAAUCUAAUUACCUCUUAAAAGUCCCACCUCCUAACACUGUUGCACUGGGAAUUUAGUUUUCAACAUGUGAAUUUUGAGGGGCACAUUUAAACCAUAGCAUACUUUUAAAAAGGAAGUUUGUGGAGGAGAAAAUAAUGGACCAGUUGGUCACUUGAUUUUUCAUUUGUUCAUUAUCAUAUUCUCAUUAGAUUGAGUUCAAGUCAUUUUAUAUAUUUUCUGGGUUGACCACAUAAACAUAACUAGCAUUAUGUUUACAUUAUGUUCAUUACCACAUUCUCAUUAGAUUGAGUUUAACUCAUUUUAUAUAUUUUCUGGGUUGAACAUGUAAACAUAACUAGCAUAGUGGUUAAGAACAUAGACUUGAACCGGAUUUGCCAAUUUUGAACAAUGCUUCUGCCAUAUAAGCUUGAGUAAUUUUCUUCACUUCUGUCCUCAUUUCCUAAUGGUAUCAACUUCCAAAUGCUUUGGGAGAAUUAAUUGAAUUGAUAUAGGUAAAGAUUUUAGAGCAGUGUCUGUCCAUUGUAAGCAUCUCUAAGAUUCUGCCAUUCCUAUAUUAUUAUUCCUUAAAAUAAUAUUAGGAUUCUCUACUGUAACUUUCUGCUUCACAUACAAUUUUAGUAGAGUGAAGAAAAGUUGGCAGUAUCAAAUGAGGGAAGAGUCUUGCCCUUUGUUUUUAAACAUCAAGGUAACCAUUUUUAAAAAUAUCUAAUUUCUGUGACAUGACCAGUCACCAAAAUUUCUCUUUCCUGUGGUUCAAAUGAGGUCUACUUCAGUAAUCACAAUUUAACAAGAAUCAACAGAGGAAAUGCAAAACACAGUGCUAAAGAAAUCUUUCACUCUUAUAUACACAUCAGCUUAUACUGAGUAUCAAUAUUUCAAUUCUUUUGAAAAACCAUACUUUUCCCUUGUUUCAUCAAUAUAGAUAACAAAUAUAAUUUAUUUUGUCUAUUUAAAAAGAAGAAAAACAGUACAUAACCAGAGAAAUUUAACACUGCCCUGAAAUCUAAACAUAGCAUCUUUUUAAUCAAAAACAACAGGUUAAUCCUGGCUUUGGAAUCAGAAAAAUCAUAUUAAAAAUGCAUACAGUGUGAUUCAUUCAAAACCUGAAUAUAGCAACAUACAAUCUUAUAAAGCCACAGAGAUUUUUAGAUCAAAGCAAAAAAAGGUAAAUCAAACCUGAAAUGAAUGGAUUAACAGAAAUGGGAGCGUUACCGUAAUAUUCCUUUAUAUUCAGUAACAGAGAAGCAGAUUUUGUCAAAUCUUGCUUUCUAAUUCCCAUCUGGAAAAGCCUUGCUCUGGAAGUGAACAGGUUUGAAGGAAUGUCUUUGACAUCUGUAAAGUUAAAAAGCAUCAAUAAUUGGAAUGGGCUUAAUCCCUCAUUCAACAGCAGGUACUUUAUACACAAUCAUAAGAAGUGAUGAAAGUCAGGCACAGAUGUACAAAUUGUUAGAUUUAAUCAGAUUGGUGAUCUACUCCUGGUUUAGUCUAUUCUGUUUUAGCUUCUACUUAACCUGAGUUAAUGGAAGGAGAUGGUCAUAUGUAUAAGGAACAAAUCCAGGUCAAAAAUCAUUUUGGAGAUGUCGGGUGACAACUGAGCUUAACCCAUGAACCACCAGGAACAUCGAAAACAUGUUUCACAGGGUAAUUUUGUGAGAAUAAAAAAACGGAGAUAAUUGAUGUAAAGCACAUAGGACUAUUGCAAAGUUAUCACUGAUGCAUGAGAGAAAGUCUUAAGAGGAUAUACACCAAAAUAUCAGCAUCUUAUAUCAGCAUGUCUGGGGGAAAAAAACACCCCAUUCUGUAAUGACACGUCAACGGGGAAAGAAGGAAAACAGCAAACAAUUCUGAUUUGCUGACCUAUCAAAAGCUGCUGAGAGAAGAGAAUCUCCUGCACCAGUUCCCUCUGCUGUCAGUGUCUCCUUCCCAAACCAGCUGCUUAGCAGGUGAGGGGCCUUCUCAUAGCAGACACUGGCUUUGCUGUGUUUAAAAUAAUGAUGCAAGGUUUGAGAAGCAAGUCAUUCAAGUCACACCUCAUUGUUUUGAGCCUGACAUACAAAAUAAAAUCCAAAACCCAAAGUUCAACUCAAUGUCAACCAAAGAUGGAAUACUGAGUGCAAUUAAAAUAUUUAACAAUUUACCAAAUUACAAUCUGGAAAGAGAAAAAAAUGUGGGAAAAUACUAGUCUAUUAAGAUUCUGUUUAGUUGCCACUUCAGCUGCCCAACAGUUAAAAUAUAAAUCAGUGUGAUAAUCUGAGAGCAGCAGUUUUAAUCCUCAAUUCCAGGGGUGCUAUCUUUCUCUCUCCCUCAUACACAGACACACACACACACGCACACACAGACACACACACACAUGCCAGUCAUUCAGCCUGAACAGAAAAAUUCAGGUGUCACAUUUCUUGAUUCAAGAGCUGUGUUAAGCGGUUGUAAAGCUGCUAUAAUUUACAGCAAAGAAUAAAGCUAACCUAAGAAACCUCAGCCUCAAUUUGCUAAAACUUAUUACACCUCAUUGGCCACUGAAUAGCCAAAAGAAGAAAAAAGAAAAAAAACUUAUCUGAAUAAGAGACUUGACUAGUAUUAGCCUAGUGAGAAAUGAUCGGCUUAAAAUUGCUCUGGCUACAUCAUAGGUUCAGAUUAACACUAUUUAUGAUGUUAUGAUUUCCUAUUUCCUGAGUUAUAUAAAAGCCAAAGGAGCUACUGUAACAGUACUAAUGAGUCGAUAGAUGUUUUCAGAUGUCUGUUUGACUCCUGAGUCUAAUUAAAUGUCUUAAUAUGACAUAUGUGGUUCUCCACUGAAUAUCCCAGCUGUGGAAUUAAUAUGUUACAAAAAUAUAUAUACACAAUUAUCUCAAACUACAGUGAGUUUGAGGCUAUAAAUAUACCAGUUAUAUUGAAUUCACUAACAUAGCACUUUGUAAAAUGCUAUAAACAUGCAAAAUAAAUGACCAAGAAUGUGUGACUAUUAAUAACUAGCCUCUUGUUAAUGACACCUCAAAGCCUUGUGAAGGAGAGUGCACUACUUGGAUUUUGUACCAUACUAUCUUUAAUCCAUAUUUUUCAUGAGAGUUCUUUUGUAACAACAUGUAUUCUCAUGUGCCAAAAUGUUUUGGGGGUUAAUGCUAAAGAUGGGGUAAAGAACUCAUGGUCAAAAUGUUAUGAUGUCAAAGAAAAGUAACAAAUGGCUGGUAUACCCUAAAUUAACAACCCAGUCCAAAAUAAUUCUAACAGUCUCAGAAAUUAUUCUAUAAUGGUAAAUUUGGUGAGGCGAAAUAUUUGCCCACAACUUUACAAAACUUCCAUUACCUAUUAGCAGAUAUGUAACACAUAUUCUUUGUAGUACAAAUCCCUUAUUGACAUUGAUUAUUAUACUAGAAAAGAAUUAAAAUUUUAAAAAUUUACUUGAGUGAGUCACAGCAUUUUUACAUCUGUAUCAAUCAAUUGUCAUCUCAUGUGACUGGAGAUUCUCAGAUCUGAUAACUUUCCAAAAUAUGAUUCAGAUACUAAAAAUUACAUUCAUGACUAAAGAAGUAGGAGACAUUCAAAGAUAUUAAACAGAAAUCUAUAGUAUAUAUAUGCUUUAAAACAUCUAUAAACACUUUCUUUAAGAAAUACGUAGAAAAAACAAGGCAAAUAUCCCUUUACCUUAUUUGCCCACCUCACCCUCAUUGCUCAAGUAUUUAAAAAGUUGACGUGUAUUUGCUUUCUAUUUUAGAUUGCUUACUGUGUCACAAUUUGUAUAUUAGUAGAGUUUACUCAUUUAUGAAAAAAUAAAGUGUGUAUAUUAGGAUCAUUUUAAGUAAAAUUUAAAAGUAAGCAUUUCUAGCCAUUGUGGAUUUAUAGAAUUCUCUUAAAUUCAGUUGAUCUCCGAAUUAUUAAGGAAAAUGAGCAACAUAUGUUCUGCUUAGAACAUAGUACAAUUUCAGAGUAAAAUCAGAAGACUGUUGAAUAGAAAGAGGACAAAGGUUAAUGUUGGGAAGCAGAAAUCACUUCUCACAAGUCAUUGGCUUAUAAAAAUAAAAUGCUUAUCCUUUUCUGUUUUUCAAGGUGUAAUUGUCCAUCCUUGAUACUACUCAUGACUGUUAUAUAAAACACUGUUGGGAGAAAAAAAAUGGAAUAUUUGAAUGCCCAAGGAUGUGUGCAGUAUCAUUCUACCAAAAGCUUCUAACAUUGAAGUGUUUGUAUUAUUAACACCCUCUAAAAUUUACUGUAGUGACUAAUUUGCUAUAGUCACUGGACAGAAAUCAUGUAGCAUGAUUUACACUACUACAAAAUCUUUACUAACUUGGGCACUGUAAAUUUGAUCAUUUAAUAAUUUAGUACUAAAUCUCUUCUUUUAAUGAAAGGAGAGCAAUCAUGAUUAUUAUUAAUGCUAUUUUUAGUUAGUUUUAAAUUAUGCCAUUAUGAUAAAACAUUCUACUUAAUUUAAUAUUUCAACUCAAAAUUAAUUUCCAAAGUCUUUAAUUCUAGCCAGUCUGCAUAAUUACAAGGUAUUGUAAUACUCUUGCAAUUGAAUUUCAAAAGUGCAUUUAACAACAGAGAAUGUUAAGUGAAUAUAGCUUAGAGUUGGUCUUGGUUUUUCAGACUUCCAACAGACAGCAUUCUAAAUCAGAAAUCAUUUUUUUUAAUUUUCAAAGAAAGGAUAAACAAUAGAUGAAGCCAUGUAUAUCUGUUUCUGAUAAAAGCACUGUAUAGUUUUAAAGUAUUGUGAUGAAUUUUCUGUGUGUGUUCUUUCAGAACAGUGCUUUUGAAAAAUAAACAACAGUUAACAUGUCAGCUCAGAAUGCUCUCAUGUGUCACCUUCAUCCAAUUUAUGGUAUCUGAUGAAUAGAAAAGUGAAUUUCGACAUUUUGUAGAAAGCAGUAGUUAUUUCACAUGCUGACAGGUGUUAGAGUAAAAGCAACUUGCAACUUAAGACCACCAUCUACUGGUUUUGCCCAAUGCUGCAAAAGCUACAGUGUAGUAUGUAAUUGAUUUUAAAUGCACCCCACUAAAGAAUUUACCAACAUUCUUCUUCCCUAUAUAUGUUUGAAGUUAUCAUAUACCUUUAGAGAUUUUGCGCUUGUGUGUGUGAUUUGUUCCAUUAUUUUCUCAAUUACCCAGGUUUGAAAUUCUGCCUUUGCCUUUUCUGAUUAAAAUAGAAGCAAUCAAACAAAAAUUCCCACAUCUUACCCACACAAAAGAUAUCCAUCUACCUGCAUUACUACUUGUAUCUGUGCCUUUGUUGCUGUUUCAAUAGAAGGUGUGGUCCUCCUAUCAAAGCCCAGGUCUCCACUGUACACUUCACCAUGUUUCAGCAUUCUAAAAAAACACCUUGCUAAUUAUGACAUUAUUAACUUUUCCUCCUCCAUUUGAUCAUUUUCAUUAGCAUUAAAAAAAACUUUAGGUUUGUGCACUAAAAAACAACUUCUUGAAAUUUUACUCACUACUAUCCCUUUAUACUAUCCCCUUCACAGUGAAAAUGAUUGAACAAGGGUGUCUAUAGUCUCCUCUAUUGCAUGACCUUCUAUUUUCUCCUCAACUAAUUCCUGAAAGCUUUCUGCCGCCUCACCUUCCACUGAGAUUGCCCCUGAGAUCACCAAUGAUUUACAUGUUUUCACAUCCAACAGUAACACUUUUGCUCUUAUAUUUAGAGACUUCUCAGCAGCAUUGGCCAUAGUGACCCUUUCUGUCCUCAAAAGCCCCCCUGGAUUUGGCUCGCAGAUACUUCACUCUGCUGGUUUUUCCUCCAUUUUCACUGGCCAUUUCUCUGCUGGCUUCAUAUUCUCUGCUAGAUUUGAAAUAUUAGAAAGUCUCAGACUUUGUACCUGGUGAUCCUUUUCUUCUUUUCUCUACACCCCCUCACUAGGCAAUUUCAUCCAGUUCCAAGGAUUUAAAGAAUUCCAAAUUUCCAGUGAUCUCAAAUUUAUUUCUCUAGCCUUGAACCUCACCGGAAAUAUGCUUUUCCAUCCAAUUGACCUGUUGACAUUUCCACUGGAAUUUCUAAUAUGCAACUCAUUAACAUGCCUCAAACAAAACUUCUUAGAUUUGCAAAACUUACCUUUCUCCUGUUUUUAACAAACAUCAAUAGAUCACAAUUUGUCUGGUUGCUCUAGGAAACUUAUCAACAUAUCACAAUCUAUCUAGUUGAUCUAGGAAAUAUUUAGAAAACCUUUCCUUUCCUCUCUUUGCUGUAUCUAACCUAUUAGCAAGUCUCGUCAAUUCUACCUCUGAAAUAUUUCCCAAAUCCAUGAACUCCGUCUCAGUAGCUACAAACUGGACUUCUACUAUUGUCUCCUAACAUAUUGCUUGGCUUUUACUCCUGUCAUACUGUAAUUCCUUUUUCACACAUUGGUCAGAAUCAUUUUUUAAAAAACAGAAUUUGUAUUAUGCAACUGUUCUAUUUAAAACUUCCAAAUUAAAACCCCUAAGCACCUUGUAUAAUGUGGGCUGUUUACUUCUCUGUCUUUACCUCUUUAUACUCUCUUCCCGCCACAUCCCAGACACACUUGUCUUACUUGGGUUCUUCAAGCAUGCCAAACUAAUUCUUCUCUUGGGGCUUUGUGCUUGCUGGUCCCCAUGCCAGUAUACUUUGUCCCUAGAUCUUUUGAAGGUUGGUUAAUUCCCAUGAUUCAGAUCUCUGAAAGAAGUUUUGUUUCUUUCAUGACUGUCCUGCCAUCCUGGAAAAAUGUAAUUUCUUGAUUUUCAAGCUCCUCAAAUCACUUCAUUCACUCAUUCAACAAAUAUUUGUUAAAAGGACUAGAGCUUGUCCAACCUGCCUUAUUUUGUUGUUGUUCUGUUUUGUUUUGUUUUGUUUUGUUUUGUUUUAGGCUACUGGAAGCCUGCAGCCAUGGUUUUUAGUUUCUGUCUCUAGUGAUAAAUGGAAAAGAGGAUGAGGAAGGAGCUUUACUGGCCUAAUCAGAAACAGAAACUAAGAACCCAUGACUGUAUUCUCUCCCUUGGAUGCCCUGAUAGGCUCUGUGGCAGAUAAUAGGGAUAUAACUCCUCAGUGUGUACAAGCUAAUUCCUCAGAGAGUCAGAGAGGACUUCCUUGGGUACCGUCUAGGUAAUCAGAUCCUAAUCAGUCUCUAUCACCUUAUUCUUUUAUUUUCAUCAUAGCACUUAUGGCUACCUGAUAUUUUUUAUUUGUUUAUUAGUCACUUGUCUUGUAGUAGAAUAUAGACUUGACAACAAAGAACUCAUCUGCCUUGUUCACUGUGUAUCACUAGCAGAUAUAACAGUGCACGAUAUUUGGUGGGUACUCAAUAAAUUUUGAUGAAAUUAAUGGACAAAUUACUGGCUAAGUAAUUAAUGGGCCUUAAUUUUAUCCUGUAUCAGCCCAUGUCCAGUGAGGCCAAGUCCUGACAACCCUUACUUUAUGAUAUUUAUUUAUUUAUCUAUGCCUCAUCAUUUCUACAGUUGGAUUCUUUGCUGCCUCCUUAAGAAUGUUUUCUCCAUCUGCAUAGCCAGAGUAUGGAGGGAGACAGAGAAGUAGUUAAAUGCUUCUCAGAUUGGCUACAUUUGUCAUUUGCUGUUUGACUGGUAAAUUGCUUGGUAAGUCUGUGCCUUGGUUUCCUCAUCUUUAAACUGGGGACAGGAUAAUGAUGGUACCCAGCUGUACACAGUUGUGAGGAAAUGGUGAGUUAAUUGCUAAGAAACAUUUGUACCAGAGCCUGGAAAGCACUGGUAAGUGUUAGUUUUCCUAAAACACUGUUAUUUUAUCACUCCCUCACUCAUCACACCCUGCAACCCUGCAUGCAAAAACUUUCAAGACUUCCCAAUGCCCCCAAAAUUGAGGCUUCAAUCUGUCUUUCAAGGCUUUCCUCAACACAGUCCCUAUAUAACUUUCUUUAUGUUACUUUUCUUCAUUCCAUCAUAUGAACACUUCCACUCAGUGCAGUCCAUGCACACACAUUUUAUUUAAGUUAACAUUAAUUAAAUACGUGUCUUAGAGCCAGGCAUUGUUGUUGGAUACACACAAAAAUGAAAGAUGCCCCCUUUGUUCUCAAACUCCACAGUUUCCUAAAGCACCUAUAUCAGUCAGGAUUCGCCAGGCACAAGAAAAAGAAACUGACUCUCAGAAACCUAAUAGGAAAAAAAUGUAUCAAAAUGUAUCAGAAUUGAAGGAAAAGCUGGAGCAAAAAAACAAACAAAAAAACCAUGACAGACUCAGAAAGGGUAACAACCAAAGUAAAACCUAAGUUACAGGAACUAAAAAAUAGUAUCAUCAGGGUCCUAACACCAGGAAGAGUGAGUGUAAACAACUUUUUGGCCUUGUGUCACUCUUUGUCUCAAGAGCCAAAUCCCAGGGAAAUAACAUUUAAUUAACCUGGAUCAGGCUGCAUGCCCACUCUUUGGUUAUGGUAGGGCACAGUAAUCCCUAGUCUUACCAAAAUGGUAUCUGGAGGAAGAACUGUGCCUCUUUUCCAGGCACAGUUUGAACCUUAAUGCCUCUCUAAAGUCUUCACAAUCUGCCAGAUUUCAAUCAUCACUGUCUUCUGGAAACUUUUAUGGAAGUUAUUAAUUUGCACUGACAUUCAGCACUUGGCAUUACUUUCUUGCAUUGUAAUUUUUAUAUUUUAUGUAAACAUUAUAAAUCCUAAAAAACAAACAAACAAAAACAAAACAAAGAGAGAGACAGAGAUUCAGUUGCUCCUUGUGGAGCAGCAUUUUUUUUUUUUCCUGAGAUGGAGUCUAACUCUGUCACUAGGCUGGAAUGCAGUGGCGGGAUCUCAGCUCACUGCAACCUCCGCCUUCUGUGUUUAAGUGAUUCUCCUGCCUCAGCCUCCCAAGUAGCUAGGAUUACAGGUGCCUGCCACCACGCGCAGCUAAAUUUUGUAUCUUUAGUAGAGACGGGGUUUCACUGUGUUGGCCAGGCUGGUCUCAAACUCCUGACCUUGUGAUCUGCCCACCUCAGCCUCCCAAAGUGCUGGGAUUACAAGUGUGAGCCGCCAUGUGGCCAGCCAAACAGCAUUAUUAUACCUUCGGAACUUUUCUUUGUGUAUCCCAAGAGUAAAAUGGAAAAACUUCCAUGAAUGCUGUCCAUGCUGGUUAUCUGAGGGGAAAUAGGCACAUCUCCCUGAACAGAUCUUUUAUUUCUGCUGUUUUCUUCAAGAGCACCCCCUUUUCUCCCAUCCUCCCAGUAGCACCAGGGAUUAGAUUAAGGCAGAGAGGCUGGGGUAUCGCUUAGUAUCUAUGAAUCCUGGGUUGCAUCCUCUAAGGCUUGCAAACUAACACCUUAGGAAGUAGUGAUGUUCUGCAAUAAUCAGGUAUAAAACAGGUUUACAACAUAUUUUCACCUUUAUUAACUCAUUUAACCAUGUCAUUUUACCAAAAUAUCCUAUCUGGCACACACAGAGGGGCUCAGAGGCUCUGGCCAGCCCUGGGUUCACAAAGCCAAGAUUGGUUAUUAGAGAAGCAAAGCAAUGACCCAGAUUUGAGAUACCCCCAUUAUCACCUUCCAAGCUACUAUACAAUUAGCUUAGUUAUCAUCUUUGCUUUUUAUUUUCUGUUACUCCACUAGAAUAUAAGCUUCUCAAGAUCAGAGAUCUUUAUGCUUUCUUGUCUGAUGUAUCCCAAAUUUCUAGUUGAGUUUAGCAGAAUACUUAAAAGAACCAGUCAGACUUGCAUUAUAACCCCAGCUCCACCACCUGCAAACUGUGACCUAAAGCAAGUUACAUACUUACUUUGGGCCUCAGUUUCUCAUUUCCUAAAUGAAAAUAAAAUAGUGCUCAUCUCCUAGAUUUGUUAGGAUUAAAUGAGAAAAUGUAUGCAAAACACUUAGUAUAGUGCCUGGCCCAUAGACAGUGACUGAUAUAUAUUACUAUGAUAGUAUUUAUAUUUUUAUUGGGGACCUACUGCUAUGAUCUAAAUGUGUUCCCCAAAAUUCAUGUGUUAGAAACUCAAUCCUCAAAACAACAGUCUAAGGAGGUUAGGUCUCUGGGAGGUGUUUAGGUCAUGAGGGCCCUACCCUUAUGAAUGGAUUAAUGCUACUAUAAUAAGAGCUUGCAAUAGCAGGUUCACUCUAUCUUGCCCUUCUGCCUUUUACUAUAUAAGGAUGAAGCAAUAAUGCCUAGAUGCUGACAUCUUAAUGUUGGACUUCCCAGACCUCAGAACUGUGGAAAACAAAUUUCCGUUAUUAUAAAGUACCCAGUCUGUGUUACUCUGUUAUAGCAAGACAAAUGUACUAAGACCUGUAUUAUAAAGGGUGUUGAGAAUCCUUAUAGCAAUAAGAUGUGAUUUUAUAAUAGCUUUCAAGUAUCUAGCAGUCUAGACCUCAAACAGAUAAACUAAAAACAAGAUAUGAUAGGAUAUAAUGUAAUAUGAAAUGAUAUAAGGGUGAAGCAAAAAUUCAGCACAGGGAAAACAACACUAUUAUGCCCUGACUGGUUCAGAAUGGCUUCCUGGCAGAGAUAACUCUGGAGACAUAUCCACAGAACUAUUUAGGAGUUUUUAGGCAAAGAAAUAUGAACAAGUCAUUGUCAUCAAAGAUAAUAGAAUUAAUGAAGUGCAGGAUGAUUAUAAGCAGUUUAGAGCAAAUUUUUCAAAGUAGGGAAUGUGAGAGAUAGGAUUGAAGAGGUAGGAACUACAUAAUUCAGAACUUCGUACAAGAAAUUUGAAAACUUGAACUUUCUUCUUUUGACAAUAUGGAAUAAUAGGAUGGUUUAAAAUAGAAAACAGCAUAAUGAGAUAUUCACUGGCUAAGUCACUGGUAACUGAAUGGAAGAUGAAUUUGAGGGGACAAGAUCAGGUAACAGAUUUCGAUUAAAGAGUUACUAUAAAAGUCAAGGUAGAAGACAACGGGGCAAAAAUCAGACAGGGUAGAGGAGAGAGGCGGUUAAAGAAAAAAAUUAAAUCCCUAGGACUGGCCUCCUGCCCUAUUUUGUAAGGUUUUUAAACAUACUUAAAUUAACAAGCAUUUGUUGGUAUCCAACAGCAUGCCAGACUCACUGGCAUUUAGGAUGUUGCUUAUGGCAUAUCCUUUUAAGUUAUAAUUGACCAAACUCUGAAAAUUGUCAUAUUUUUUAUUGAAGCCCUUUCACUUUUCCUUUCCAUUAGCUUUCACAUCUUAGUUUUAUAAUCCUUAUCCCUAGGAAACUAAAACCUUGCUCUAGAUCUGAUUGCACAGUGAGAUUUCAGGAUAAAUCUAUUUUCAGGAUAAACCCAUUAGUGUCACAUAAAUCUCAAAUAUAAAUUUCAAAUCGAUACAAUACACAUGAAAAUCAGUGUAACUUUGCAGGAUCUGUGUCCUAUUCUUAUUCAUUUUCCUACUGUACAUAUGACAGAAAGGAAGAACUCAUUAUACAUUUGUUGAAUAAGUGAAAAUAUUGUCUUACUCCAGAAUAAGGUCUAGAUCUGGUGGAUUAUAGUUUCUAAAAUGAUAUUGAACUAGUAGGGCAAAAAAUCUGCCUCAAUUUCCCCCUUUCUUAUAACCAGAAUUCCUUCUAAUUCUUCAUCACUUCUUCCAAUGGCAACUAUGUAUCUUCUUUGGCAAUACCUAUCAUGAAACUAAAUACCAUGACAACUGGAUUCACAGACAGAAUUUGGUCUCUAUCUAAUUCCUCUAAAUCAUAAGGCACAUAGAUAAUACUAUAUUUUAUUUUGGCAGUGUGUGUGUGCACUGUGUAACUUCAAAAGCAUCAGAAAGAAGAUAUCCACAGGAAUCCUGUAGAAGGGGAAAAAGAGAUAUUUUCCUUGUGUAGAGAAAAUAAGUAUUAGAAUAUAGUUACUUAACAGAUCUAACAACAAAAUGUUUCUGAGUAAUUUUUAUUCAUCUUGAACUACAUACAGACUCUUAGUUCCUCCAAGCCAUCAACAGCUAAGACCUGAAGUAGGAUCUGGGCCCCUUCAUAGGUUCCAGUUUUCGAUCUUGGGAAACUACCAUAUAAACCUUAUCCUGAAAAGCAAAAGAAAAAAUGUAAAUAAACUGUUUUAGAUUUCUGCUAUAUACCUCUCUAUAGAUUAGAUACUUUUAUGAAUUUACACUAACUUGUGAUCCUUAUGUGAGCAGCCAUCUUGAAUAUGCUGCUCAAGAUUAUAUCAGAGCUUAGUAGUGUCAAACAUACAGUAUGUGUUCAAUAAUAAUAACAGUAACUAAGAUUGGCUGGGUACUGUUUACAUGCCAUGCACUGCUCCAAGCACCUUUCGUAUACUAAUUCAUUUUAUUCUCAUUCUGAUACUAUACUCUCCAUUUUAUAGUAAAGAAAACUAAACCUAAGAUUCAAGAAUAAAGUAACUUGCCCAAGGUCACACAGGUAGCAGGGCUAAGAUGCAAAUCUGAGCAGUCCAACUUUAUAGCCUAUCCUUAAUCACUGUAUUAGACUUGAAUGAAUAGGUUAAUGCUGUGCCCUUUAGGAGCUAGUAACUUUUUAUAAUGGGAUGGUUCUGAGGUUGAUGCAAAUGUACCUUUUCCGAAGACAUAGUACUUACCUUCUGUUACCCGGAUAAAGCAGUAAGUUUUUCUUCUUGCUUCAUAAAUUUCAGGUAAAGCCUUUUUCCCCCAUACUUCACCUCUUGUUCUUCACAGCUCAGUACUAAUCAUCAGCCCAUAAUGCGGUGUAGAAUUGCCAACACCAUCCCGAUGAUGUAGUUAUUUCCAAUUGGCACUUGGGAGCAGUGAGGAUAGGAGGCAUUACUCAUAGCCAAGAGUACAGAUGUUUCUAAUUGCUUUCCAUUACCAAGAAUAACAGCUGUUUACAUCUAUCAGCAAAUAAUUCACAAGAGCUCCAGACUAUUAAGAUAACACACCCCACCUGGUCACCAUCACAAGUUGUCAAGGCCAAGAUAGAGGCUGCCAGAAUUCCCUUCUGCAUCUCUGUUCAUCAACUGACAGCAUGUGUCACCUUCAGAUAUCCUUAUGCUUCCCCACAAGCUCUGGCUUCUUGGUGGCCUGACACAUCAAAUGGACAUAUGGAUUCUUCAUGGCUUUGCAGUAAAUGUUUUAUGGCUAUCUUGCAGCCAAGGGCAGCUGACAUAGAGAGGCAAGGGACUUGCAAAUAGCCUGAUGAAAGAAUUUCUGCACUUUUUUCACAGAAGAAGAGUACAUGUUCUGCUUAGAGGAGUUUCACGGCUGCAAUAUGCUUAAUUUCUUUAAUGCAUCCACAAAUUGCGUUAGAUGAUAGAUUGGAGUUCAGUAGCAUCCCAGGGACCUGGUCACAUGCCUAAGAUACAAUGUUCCCAGUUCAGUAAACUUUAUCACAUAGUUUUACUGACCACAAAAGAAGACAAAUAUUAAAACACAUUAUAGAUAUUAGGGUUAAAAAGACCAGUAGUACCUCCUCGCUGACACAUUGACUCAUACUGCAUAUUUUUCUUACACACUGGUUUAAAGUCAUUUAAGCAUAUGGUCUGUGCUAUUUUUUUCUAUGGAGACAACUUCAGAGUCUAAUCCAACUCUCUGUGUUUCUGCUGCACCUGAAUUUAUGUCUGAAAUUGGCUUUCUAUACAUUCAGACACAGUUUUUAGUCCAUGAAUUUUAACCUAUUACAAAUAAUGGAGCAUCAUCUCUUCAAAACUACACAAAUGUUUACAAUGCCAUGUUAACUAAGAGAUUUCCUCAUGGCUUGUUGUUGCUUAUCUCCAAGCUGCCCCCCAUCAAUUCCUGCCUUCUAUAUUGUAUUUGUAUGUCACUCCCCUAUCAAAAGGUGGAAUCUAUACAGUCCUUUGAAUUUCGGCUGGCCUCUCAUUGCUUGAAACAACAAGAUAUGCCACAAAUGCUGCUUUGCCAGUUCUGGGCCUAAUUCCUAAGAAGACUGGCAGUUCCUGUUUUUCCUCUUUUGGAACUUUCUCUUUGAGGGAAGCCAAAUGCCAAGUAAGAGCCCUUACUACCCUGAGGCCUCCAGGCUGUCAGGAAGCCCAGAGUAGCCUGACAGAAGAACUGUGUGGAGAAACAAUGAUAAUGGCGGCCCCUCUCAACUGUUCCAGCCACUCUAGAAUGCCACCCGUUCCAACCAUCUCUAGCAAUUCACCUUGUCCCAGUUGAGGCUCUAGAUAUCAUGCAGUACAGACAGGUUGUCCCUAAAUUAUUGACCCACGUAAUGUGAGCAUCAGAAAAAAAUGUUCAAUUUAGGCAACAACUGGCAACUGGAACAUAGCCCCCACCUCACUUUCCAGGAACAUCUGUUAAUUUCUUAGCAUUACUCUAUGAUACUGAUGACAUAACUCCUGAGAUAAAAACCUUCUUAUUAAAUCAUAAUUCCUACACUAAAUAUCAUUGUAGUUUCUAAUCAAAAGAAACAAAAAAAAAGUUAAGUGCUUAUAAAGCGACUUACUUUUUUUUCCCCCUCUAUAUCUGUGUCUCAUUCCAUUGUCAAUGAAGAGUUUACUAUAUAGUUUUGCUCAUAAAACAAGCUAUUAUAUAUUUAGACCUCUGCUUCUGUACAGGAUAUCAAUUCAAAUCACUGUACUUAGUUUUUCUGGUCUAAAUAUAUAUCUGAUAGUCUGGUUUAAAUUAGAAUAAAAUCCUCACUUCCUUCCAGGAAAUUUGGUUCUUUUAAUAGAACUCCAACAAGUUUGGAAAACUACAAAUUCUCUUUUCAUAACAUCAAAUAUGAAUCUGUAGAUGCUAUUGGGAAAAGUACUAGUUUUAAAAUCUAAAGAAGUCAUUGUAUUACUUACAAAUAUGUUUCUUUUAUCUUCUUUCAUUAACAGAGUGGAAAGUUCAAAAUCUGUGGAGCCUUAUUUGUGUAUAUAGCACACUAUAUAUGUAUAUAUACACAUACAUUUAAUAUAUAUGUGUGUUGUGUGUGUAUAUCUUUUAUAUAUAUGCAUUUGUAUAUGUUUGUAGGAAGAGUUAUAAUAUAUAUUAACAAAUUCAUGGCAUUCACUUAGUCACUUUACAUCUGUUUAAUGGUCAUGAGGAGACUACUGCAUUACAGAGUCUCUGGAUUCUAGCUCACCAUGCCAACCUCUCUACCCCUACCUAGUUCUCAGAAGACUGGCAUGAUAACAUGAGUUCCCUUUCACUUCUCUUAUUCUAACAUACUCUUACUCUAUUUUCUUAUCUCAUUGCUUAUACAUUAGCCAAAUGAAUUUACACAGCUUAAUUUCUAUUGUAGAAUAUUUUAGUAAAAAAUGUAACAUUUCAACAUUACUUAAACAUUGUUUUCUUAAUUUCAUCUAAUUUUUUAGAAAAAUUAGGAAAGAGCUAGCUACUUUCUUCUUAAUAACUUUAGACUGCUAAAGUACCAAUAUUAGCUCACUCUUAAAGUUGAAAAGAAUUAUUUCCCCUAAUUAAAUUCAGUUAUUUAUCAAUGGCACAAAUUUUCUUAAACUAUCAAGAAACUGCACCAUUUAUUGUUCAGAAGAAAACACAUUUUUAUGUUCUCCUUUAUCAAAAAAAAUGCAUAGUGUCCUUAAAAACUCCUGAAUAUAGUUCAGUUUACAGGAAGAAAGGAUUCCUUAUGCAGUUAUUUGACCCACAUUGAGAGUCUUCAAAGUAAAGAUGUCUAAGACACAUAGUCACUUCUUUUGGAGUCAGUAUUUCUUUUGAAAUCACUUGUACUCCAAUAAAACACAGACCCUUUACUCAACAACUGCCCAGUCUGAGUACAGUAAAGAACUCUUCUCCAGGAUAACUUUGGACAGGGUGAUGAAGCAGAGAAAGAUCUGGCCGUUAGACUUCUUGAGAAAUCGUCAUUCACCUCUUGUAACUUUACCCUCAAUCUUUCAUUCAUACUAAAGUGAUCUUUAAAAGAUCUAAUGGAAUCAGAGUUCCAAUUUUUGAUAGGAACUUUACAAUUGUAAACUUUGAUUGUGAUAUUGACUAUUGAUUAUGCUAUUUUCUACUGCAAAAUGAAGAUGGUGGUUUCUUCUAGUUUUAAGCAAAUACCUAUUUGGAGGCAAAGGAUUAAACUAUUUGAAAGCUGAAGUUUUCCCAGGUGCAAGCUUCUUUAUGAUAAAAUCUCAUAACUGCAAAUACAAGUCCCCUAGAUUGUACUCUGACACAACAGCAACCCUGAGUUUGUAUCAUAUUUUUUAAACUUUUUAUUUUGAAAUAAUUACAGAUUCACAGGAAGUUUCAAAACACUAAAGAGAAUCCUUUGAUCCUUUCAUUCAGAUUCACCAAUGCUCCAUAUAUUUGAAAUUUCCCUUUUUCAUUGUCCAUAUUAAAAUACCAGAAGAUAAGUAUAAUCUUAAUAAACAUGACAAAGUUGCUCUCACAUUUGUCUUCAAGAGCAGCAGGAAGACGGAUAGUUAUUAAUUAGAUUGCAAGUAGGAUGAUGCUAAUAUAGUACUGGUGAACAUACUUGUUUCCAGGCUGGCAUGAUAUGGCAUGCAAGUUGGCAUGCAGUGUUAUAUGAACAUAUGGCAGGCAGAAGCUGCUGUUUCCUCCUAGGAAACAGCAAAGCAAACGUCAGCUCCCUCAGUACUGAAGACACACACCCUAAAACUCUGCAGUGCUGUUGAGGGCUUGGUGCACAUGCCAUUUCCCUGUCAUCAGGAUGGGAAAUAAACUCUACAUGUGGUGUCACGCCAACAACUAUAGGAACUGAAAGUCUGUUUCCCCAAGAAGAGGAGGACACAACCAGAAGUUCUCACUGAAGCUGCUGUGUCAGGGUACAAUCUAGGGGACUUGUAUUUGUAGUUAUGAGAUUUCAUUGUAAAGAAGCUUCUACCUGGGAAAACUUCAACUUUCAAAUAGUUUAAUCCUUUGCCUCCAAAUAGGUAUUUUCUUAAAACUAGAAGAAACUGCCACCUUCAUUUUGCAGUAGAGAAAACAGAAACAUUCUGUGACCUCUCCAAAUGCUCAGAGUCCAAAUCUGGUUAAAUAUUCAAGGCUUUCCACUUUUUUAGAAUUCUACAGCUAAAGCAAUUCACCCUUCAUUACUAAGCCUCUCCCCAAUGUAAUAAUCUUCACUCUCUGAACAUUUAUCCAACUUGCACCUAAAUCUCUACCACUGAAAUCCAUUUUCUUCAUUCUAUUUUCCAUGCCAGAAAAGCAUAUUUAAUAUGUAAUAAACUCACAUCUUAUUGAAGAUUAUUACUAAUUUUUUCUCAGCUUUCCCUUCAUCAGACUAUAUAAAUGAAUUUUCUUCCAGAAGAAGGUUAUGAAACCGGUCUAUGUUCUUGAUUAUGCAUAUUUAUAUCUACUCAAAGGAUUCCUAUUAGCUUAAAAAUAUAAGCUUGAUACAAUGAGAGUAAAUUAUCAGCAUUCUAUGAAGUAUACUAUACAAAGAUAAUUUAGCUAAACAUGCUUUUUGUCUUUCACUGUACUUUUUAAACAAAUAAUUUAAAAUAUAUGAUUUGGUGGAACAUGUUAUUAGAAAAGAACUUACUGGUUUAAUGGAAAAAAGUCUUCAUUGAAAGAGUGAAGCCCUAAUUACAUUCACCAAAUGUCCCUUUUCCUUCCUCCUGAUCUCUGCUUUCUACUCCCAAAUAGAGUGGUGACUCAAAAAAGCUAAUAGACAACAGUAAGGGAUGAAUCUUCUGUGAAUCACUUAUCCUCAAAAUGGAAAGUCCUUAUCCCAGGUGUUUGGAAGAGUUCUUCAGAUGCCUUCAACUGAAAGAAGACAUUUUAUAAAAUUAUUCUUUCCAUGUGCCAAAGGAUUCUUCCGUGUUGGAAGUAGGAAACUGUCAGCUUCUGUAAGAGCUUUGUUUCUGCCUGCCUCUGUUAGCCAGUUGCAGGGACCAGCAUGCCAAACUAUGAGAGAGCAGGGGACCUGGGGUGCCUGAACUAGCAAUUCCAUCAUGCUGAGGGUUAAAACUUGAGCAAUCACUAAGACUAAAAUGCUAGGUUUCUAUUGUUUCUCUUCAGACACUCCUGAGUAUUUGAUUUUUAUUCAUAUGGUUGUUACUGCUGUUGGAUGUUUCUAUGUGAUUUGUUGUUUUUCCAGAGAGGGAGAGUUCCCACCAGGUUGCCUGCCAGGCAGAGCAGAAUGCCAUUAGUAAGAGAUCUGUGGCCACUGCUCUGUUUAGUGAGCUGCCUCCAUCAAGGGAGAUUUAUCUAUGCAAGUGCUGAUCAUAAUGGAUUCCUUCACUAAAUGAUUUUGGAUGAGCACGGCUUUGGCAGAGGUUCUGCAAGUCCCACAUUCUGUUAUAAAACUGAAUGCCCAUGUAAUGGACGCUAAGGAGAAGUAAAGAUGUGAGGGCAGGUGGGUGGGGGAGAGUUAUAUGUAAAGUGGCAUAGACAGCCACCCUGGAGAUGGGGAGUAGAGGAAUGUGAGCUUGAUACUGAGUUUUCCUAACUGGCAAAAGGACCAAGUAUGGACCCAACUUAUUCAAAGCAACAAAGAAAAUUUUUACAAGGAUAUCAGUCAUAAUUCUAAAAGGGAGAAAUAAACAAUAAAGAACAUAUUUUAAUAAGUGGGUGUAAAGUGCUCUAAAGAAAAAUAUAGCUGAGGCAGGAGGAUUGCUUGAGCCAGGAGUUUGAGACCAGCCUGGGCAGCAAAGCAAGACCCUCAUCUCUACAAAACAUUUAAACCACCAAAGAACAAGGCAAAUACAGCAGAAUCUGUGGAUAAGAGAGUGAGACAAGGCAGAUCAAUGUUAUUUUGUAAAACUUGGUCAUAAAAUCCCUCUCUGAUUAAUUGAAAUGAGUUAAGGAGUAAGGGUGUAAUCCAUGCAUUUAACUGGAGAAAGAAUGUCACAAAGAAGAAAGAGUAAAUACAAAGACCCUGAGGCAAUGGCUGCUGAGCAGGAGAGCUUAUGUGCUCAAAGAAUGGCAAGAUGCCCCUGUGGGUAUAAGCCAUAUAUAUAUAUAUGUCCUACACGAAUGGGUUCCUGAUUCUAUAUGUCAUUCACAUCCUGUACUUCCUUCAAGACUGUUAAAAUUAUGUUUUAAUUUUAUGAACUUUCAUUGAAUAUCUAUUAUGCACCAGUCACUGUACAAAAGGAAUAAAAAUAACAUGAUUUUUCUUGCUUUCUUUUUGAUCGAGACAAUCAUUGUUCUCUCUCUUAUCUAAAUUCUUCUCCUAUUCAUAGUUUUUAACACACAUCUAUGUAUUUUGAGUAUUUAUGCCCUAGGUAUUCUCUGGCCAAUUUAUUUAUUCAAAUCGUGCCAUCCCUUUUGUAUGUAACUUUCUUAAAGGUGGGAACAGUUUCUUAUUUCUUUCACAUCACUAGUACGGAGAUAGAUAUAUAAUAGUCAUUUAAUAAAUACUUGGUGACUCUGUAACCUCAUUAGGAUUGAAAACUGCAUUUCCUUGGAAUAGUAGGGCUCACAAAAAAUCCUCACAUCCGUUAGAACACAUUUACUAUACAAACUUGGGUGUGAUUGGCUUCUAUCAACAAAACCUCAGCUAACAAUGAAUUAAACAAAUAGGUUUUUUGAAAAAAAUUAUAAAAGUCCAUAAUUAGACAGUACCCAUAACUGGUUCAGCCACUCAAGAACACAGAUUCUACUACCAUUUAUCCUUAGGCUUCUGAUAGCAAGACUCAUCCAAAGAAAGAAUACAGGACUAAGAAUACUUGCAUAAGUUAGAUUUCUCCUUGUUGUUGAAUAGCAAGAUGUUUCUCACAAAUUUCCCUUUGUCCCCCUGUAUAUUACUAAAAAGUACUUAGUUAUAUGGCCACCCACAAAAACAAGUGAGACUAAAAAAGUGACUAGAUUUGUUCAGCCCUCAUGAAAGAUGUGGCAAAGGCAGAGGGAAUUAGGAAGAACAGCUAUAUUGAUCAAAUGUUUAUUUGUUCACAAUAUCAGUUUGCCUGUUUCUUCCAAGCUUAUUAAUUGUUUGCAUAGAUCUCUAAGUCUAAAACAUCACACUAUUCUAUUCCCCAUAUCUAGAACUUCUUAUGUUUAGCUUGUCUUUGCAUGUUUUUCUUUUUGACUUUAUUUAUUUAUUUUUUAUUGCAUUUUAGGUCUUUGCAUGUUUUUCAGCAGAGGUUCUAGUUCUUUCUUGUAUCCACUAACAUAAUUGGAAAUUGUAUUUUUCAUGCUUGAUUAUAUAGUUUUAGGUACAAAUUAUCAUUAUAAUUAUUUAAAGCCUGGACAUGAAUCCAUUGACAACUUUAUUCCCAUAAAUUUUCAGUCCACACCAGUAUAUUCAAAAGAUUUUAGGUUCUACUCAAAUAUUCAGUUCUCUUUAAUGUAUUAAUAGUCUUUUGAAGAUAAAAAAGAGAGUGGGUAUCAUCAGGAAACACUAUAUUAUAGACAGAUACAUAGGCUUCUUAACUUUAAUAUUUUCAGCCAUUUUAUGUGCUAAUAUUUAGUCCACUCUUCAAAGGAGUAUAUAAUAUGCAGUGUUUUCAACAUAUUUAAUUGCAUGGUUUAUUUUUUCAGAAAGCAUUUUGUAGAACCAAUGUUUAAAGAAAAAAUUGUAUCAGAAUGCUGCUCUGGAUAUUUCUACACACUUAGAUGUCAUUUCUGUAUAAGACCUGAGGAACCAGGUCUUUAUUUUAAAUGGCACAGAACACAGUUAUACUACCUAGGUUAAACUUCAUAGUCUCACUGGUUUCAAAAACUCUAUGUUCUUCAAAGUUCAGCUUCUGAGUUUAUCUAUGUAUGUGAGUUCAGUUCUAGCCCAGGAAACAGGUACACUAUGCUCCUAUUCUAACCCUGCCUCUUCUCCCAAAUAAGUGUUAAAAAUUAAUGUGAAAAUCAUGGUCACCUGAGCUUCUCUAUUCCACUGAUUCUUAGACCAUAUUCUUAGACCCUAUUCUUUAUAUAGUUUACUUGGAGAGUAAAGUGACUACAGUAUCAUACAAUUUUCUGAAAAUUCACUCUGUUGUCUAUUGAAAUAGUAGAAUCUUAGAAGGGGUUUUAGUCACUUGGUUUCACACUCAGCCAAAACAACACCUGAAGCAUACAAAGCAGAUGGUCAUGUGAUCCAAUGGUAUCAAGACACACCAAAAGUAGAAGUGCCCAAAUUUACUAAUGUCAUCAAGAAGGAGGACUGCAUUAAAAAUAAUAAUGCCUAGGCUGUUCCUUGUAUAAUGACAUCUUUGUUAGAGCAUCCUCAAAUGUCUUGACGGUGCCACUUUAUUUUAGUCCUUUCAAAAGACGUUAAUUUAAACCAUAUAUCACUGUGCUCACUAAUGUAAUUGUUAACCUUUCUUUUUUAUUUUCACUUCAAGGCCUACUGAUAUAGUUCUAAAAAAUGACAUAUAGUCCUAAGGCCAAAGGGGAUUUACAAUUGGUUUUUAUAACACUGUAGAUGUAAUAUUAUGAAAAGACUACCAAAGUAAUGUAAAUGUGAAAAUAAUUUGCUGGGUUUUUGUUGUUGUUGUUGUUGUUGUUGUUGGUUUUUUUUUGGUGGUGGUGGUUGUUGUUGUUGUUUUGAGACAGAGUCUCACUCUGUUGCCUAGGCUGGAGUUCCGUGGUGUGAUCUUAGCUCACUGCAGCCUCUGCCUCCCAGGUUCAAGCGAUUCUCCUGCUUCAGCCUCCUGAGUAGUUGGGAUGACAGGUACACACCACCAUGCCCAGCUAAUUUUUGUAUUUUUAGUAGAAACGAGGUUUUACCAUGUUGGUCAGGAUGCUCUUGAACUCCCGACCUCAUGAUCCACCUGCCUCAGCCUCCCAAAGUGCUGGGAUUACAGGCAUGAGCCACCGCGCCUGGCUGAUUUGCUGGUUUUAAAGGAGUUUUCUAAAACAGUGCAUCUUUUGUUCUUUCCACCAAUGUUUCUAGCCAAGUAAAGACAGUGUUUUUUAUAAAUGGAGAAAUAAACUAAGUUUCUUCAUUUGGAGGACUAUAAGUGACUCCCCCAAAGUCAAAGAAAGAGUAGGUGCAUCAUCAGGAUUUCAGCUCUGAUUUUCUAGAUGAAGUUGAGUUUCCCUUUCUUUCUUGUCAAAGUUUAUUUCCAGGCCAAGCCUGUGUUCAGGUUAGUUUCAAUCAGUGUUUAGCAGAGAUGGAAAUCAGAUGGCUACAAUCCUGCACAUGCUUUCCUAGCCUAGAGGGUGGAGACUCAAAACAGGGACUUUAUAUAUACUGUACCUAAAAUUCAAAUCCAUCCUACCCUUCCCUACAGAGAGUCCCAAAAUGGCCUAGUCAGGUGCCAAUCAAAUGUUUGUUGUUGGGGUUUGGAUUAUCUGGAAGCUGAUUUAAAACAGAGCAUUGCAUUUUGGAUAGAUGGCAGCUGUAGUGGCAGCAUAGUUUUUGCAUCUUCCAAAAUCUUCACAUUAAAACAGAUGGCAAAACCAAAACCGAUGGACAUUUAUAACAAAACUAAAUGACAAAGAAUUCCCACUAACCUCAAAAUAAAAAUGGAUGAGGACAAACCACCAACAGUCACAUAAUUAUAUAUUACUGGUAUCACAGAGGAGAAAGCAGAGGAAGUAAUAAGAUAUCUUAUGGGGACUUCAGAUUAGGAUAACCCCCAAAUACCAAACAGAUUUACUGGAAAGUAGAGUGAGCCAAAUCAACACAGAAUAUAAAACUGUGAAGGUUUUUGCCCAAUCCCAUAGAGGGUAAAACUAACAAGCCUACAAUUAAGCUAAAAGUCUUUCGCACUUUUGACCCUAUGAAUUCUCAAAAGUAACCCAUUAGGGCUUCCUCCAAGACAAGUUCCCAUAAUGAGAAGAACCUUCUAAGUAAAAUAAAGCAGCAGCACAAAGACACCUGAAAUGAAGAAAUGUGAAGGUUUGAAUAAAAGUCAGGGAGAAGAACAAAACCAAGAAAUCUCAGAAAGCCAUCUGAACCAAGCCUUUUUCUAUGACUUCAGGAAAACUAAAUAUCCCUAAAUGUGAGAAAGAGGAAAGUACCAAGUUCUAAAUUUAUAGAAAGUCAAUAAAAUAUAAUAUGAUGCAAAUUAACAUGUAUGUUUGAAGGAUCCUCAAGUUGUCACUUUUCUGGCUGGAAACCUCUGUGGCUGGUAGCAUGUUUGCCCAAAUUUUGCUUGGGCCUGCUGGGCUUGAUCUACCACAUGGCCUGGCAGGCUGCACUUAGCUCACACUACCAGUCUGGAUCCGAUGCCUGCCAAGGGAGAGUCAGGCAGGGACCAGUGAGGGGUAGUGUGAAUGAGUGAGCAUGGUGUCCGGCCACUGUUCAGUCAGGCACACUGGCAGUGCAGUGGGGUGGGCAGCUUCAGGUGCCAGCAUAGGUGCCAGCCCUCUGUGAGGCUGUGGCUGGACCAGGUGCACCACAAGCAGCUUCCACAGCUGCCACCAGGGAAUGUGGUGAUGCCAAGGAAGCUUGGAGAUACCAGGAACUCCAGGGCCCCAAAGAGAGAGUCACAGCCCUGGUUCAGAGAGCUCUCAAAUCUGGGACCACCAAAGGGCCACAGCUCUUCUCUCCUUCUCUUUACCCACAAUGUGGUGAGCAAGAGGCAUGUUUCAGCCAUUUAUAUCACAGCUUCCAGGCCUGCCAUUCAGUAGGUUCUGAGUUCUUGUCCAUCAUACAGGAAGAGUGAGGUACACAGACAAGCAGAGGGUGAGCAAGGUGAAGAGAAGCUUCACUGAGUGACAGAAUGGCUCAGUGAAAGCCUUGCAAUGGGUACCUCUUCUUUGCAGACAGGUCAUCCUAUUGUCAUUGCAGCUCUCAUUAGAGAGGAGACCCUGGAGUAGGUAGUUCCUCUCUGCAGCUGAGCAUCCCAAUGUCUGCUCUCAGCAGAGAGAAGGUCCUUGAAUAACUAGUUCCUCUCUGCAGCUGGUUGUCCAGAUGUCUGCUUAGCUCUGGCUGAGCCCAGGGCUUUUAUGGGCCUCAGAGUGGAGAAAAUACAUGCUGAUUUGUUCAUGGGUACCCAGAAAAGGCACCACAAGUUCCCACUCCUGUCUGUAGGACUGGGAGACUGGCCCCCAGUCUUCAAGCCCUCCAUGGCAUGAAGGUGGGAUCUUACUGCCCUUUUCUGGCCAGGAACCUGUUUACCUCCUGCAAACAUUUAUGGUGCCCAGGUUAUAGGUGCCAAGGGGUGUCUGCAGGCCAGCACCAAGCUGCCCUCAGCUCCCCAUGAGCUUCCCUCCUAUGCUUGUCAGCACCCAAAGGCCAGAGGGGGCUGAGGCAGCAGGGAUUGUCAGGUCAGCACUGCAUAGAGCAUGUGCACACUCUGCUAGGCUGUGACAGCACCUGGGUUCAGCCCCAACUUUGGUCCAAAAUCAAAGUUGGUGCUGACAGCAAAGAGAAGGCAGGCAGCUGGAGCAGGCACUUCUGAGCUUGGGGUCGGGGGGGCCUACCCAGGCCCCCCACAGUGCAGGGAUGCCUGUGUCUAUAGCCACAGUUUGGGUAGCUGCAGCUGUUCCUGGGGUUGGGGAUCCCUCUGUGGAGGAGGAGGCCCCAGUCUGUAGCCACAACUUGAGAGGCUCUAGCUGUGCCCAGGAUAGCAGAGCAUCUGCCUGCUCCCAGAACCCUGAAGAGCACAGGGAGGCCAGUAAGUAACCCCACUGAGCUCCUGCCCUCCAACUUGGAAGGGGUGGGGCUCCCACUUUUCCCUGGCUCCCAUGGGCUCUGUGGCAUGUGCAGCCCCAGCCACACCUUUCAGCUGCAGCUGGUGUGAUGGCAGUGGCUGCUCCAGAUUGGCCACUGCUGCUAUCAUAUGCAUUACUCAUAUGUUAAUUUGCUUCAUGUUGACUUAUAGUGACUCUCAUGUACAACUCUUAUGUUGCAUAUGAUUAGAUAUAGGCAAAUUUAUCUGUCUAUUCAAAAAAUAUGAUUAAACUAAAAUAUCAACAGAGAAUAUAAAGCAGAAUAACAUCCUGUAGGUAAUAAAAUUAUGCCACAAAAAUAUGCUCAAAUAUAGAUUAAAAUGGUAGCAUACAUUCCAAAAUGAGUUAAAACGUAUUUAUAAAAUGAUACAAUAUAUGACGUAACAGUAUAAUCCCAAAUUAGAAAACUUCAGAAAUUAGGUGACAGAACUCAAGAAGAAAUUAGAAAUUUAAAAAAGCGUUUGAAAUAAAGAUCAAACACAAAAAUGAAUGUAUACAAAAUAGUGGCUUCAGAGAAAUAUGCAGUAAAAGAAAAUUUAGAAUCAAAAAGAAAUGAAAGAAAUGAAAAGGCCCUGAAAGUGGCAUUUGUUGAAUAUCAGCCACCUGCAGAUAAUAAGUGCCCUAAAGAAGAAAACCAAAGCAACGGAACUAAAUACUAAACUAAAAGCAACAAUUCAAAAAAAUCUCUUGCAGAACAAAAUAUUUUUAAAUUUUUGAAACUACACUUUGAAGCUUCACACUGUAGACCCCAAAAUACUGAAACAGAAUGACCUACACCAAGAUAUAUCUAGAAAACAUGCUUUAGACAACCAAAAUAACUAGAGAAACAUCAACAAAAAGACUGGUGGUGAGCAUUAAAUGUGCAGUUAGUGGUAUAAAUAAGACUGAGAAUUUAAGAGCAUUUAGUGUAAUGGCUAUGUGCUCUGUCAAUACACAUAGAGGACAACUCUAACACAUAGGGGAAAAACAGGGCGGGCAUAUGCAAAACAAUACAACAGAAUCAAAUAUUUCAUAAAAAAUAAAGAAAAUAUUUUAUCAACAAUUUUAUAUCAAUUACAUGUUGAAAUGAUAAGAUUUUGUGAUGUGUUGGGUUAAUGAAAUAUGUAUAUAAUAUACUAGAAUUAAUUUUACAAGUUUCUUUAAACUUUUCUGACAUGGCUACAAAAAUAUUUAUAGGUCGGGCAUAAUGGCUUAUGUCUGUAAUCCCAGCACUUAGGGAGGCCAAAGCAGCCAGGAGUUUGAGACCAGUCUGGCCAACACGGUGAAACCUGUCUCUACCAAAAAAGAAUAAUUUGCUGAGUAUGGUGGGAUGGACCUGUAGUCCCAGCUACUCAGGAGGCUGAGGCACAAGAAUCACUUGAAUCCAGGAGGCGGAGGUUGCAGUGAGUCAAGAUUGCACCACUGCACUCAAGCCUGGGUGAUGGAGUGAGAUCCUAUCCCUAUAUAUAUUUACAUGUAUUUACAUAUAUGAUUCACUUUCAUUGAGUUAAUAUGCCACCAUUUUGGAACCCUCAAAGACUUAAUGGAUCUAAUCACGGAGUUUCAAUAGCUCUUAACAUAAAAGACAGUGAAUUUUGUGUUUUCUACUUAUCUCUGAUGAAAGCACUCAACACCAUUUAUCGUGUUGCCAAAGGGACGCAACCAGUGUCUGAUCAAAUCUCUAGAUACAGAAGCCCAUCUGCAGGAUAGAGGAACAUGUUGAACUGAACUGUAAGUGAAAAAGUACUCAAAGUCAUAACUGCAAUACUGAGGGCUACAAGAAACAUUUCCUGCCUCUCAAUUCAUUUUUUCUUCAUAGAGGAGAAAUUACUCUAGUUCUUAAAAUAUAUGAAAUAAAUAGUAUAACUAAAAUACAUGAAAUAAUAGUAUAACUAAAACCUUAAUGAAAGAGAAAAAAAUUAAAUUGUAAAAAUAACUAAAACCUUAAUGAAAGAGAAAAAAAUUAAAUUGUAAAAAUAUCUCAUAAUUCCAAAAUAAGGCAAGUAAAGGGAACAGGAACAAGGAAUACCAGGGACAAAUAAAGAACAAAUAGUUAACUUUAAAAACCCAACUGAGGUAGGAGGCAGGACUCAACUCUAGAGGUGGGGCUCAGACAUGGACCAAAUUGAGGACUAGCUAAAUUAGGGGAGGUGGAAGCAGCUUUCAAUGAGACACAACCAUCAGCGUGCCAUGUCAACUUACUAUCGCCAUGGCAACACCAGGGAGUUACCACCCCUUUCCAUGGCAAUGACCUGAAGUUACUACCCCUUCCCUGGAAAUUUCUGCAUAAACUAUCUUUAAAUCUGCAUGCAAUUAAAAAUGGGUAUAAAUAUGACUGCAAAACUGCCCUGAGCUGCUACUCUCUGCCUGUAGGGUAGCCCCGCUCUGCAGGAGCCGUCACACAGCUAUAAUAAUGCCUCUUCAAUAAAGCCGUUUUCUUCCACCUCUGACUUGCCCUUGAAUUCUUUCCUGAGCAAAGCCAAGAACUGUCACAGGCUAAACUCCACUUUGAGGCUUGUCUGCCCUGCAUCACAGCUAUGUCACUAAUAACAUUGAAUAUAAAUGAACUAAACAAUGCAAAUAAAAGAUUAAUAUUGUUUUUUGGAAAAAAAGACAAAUGCAGUUUACAAGAGAUGGUCAUUUAAGGACUCAUUUAGGAUAAAAAGCUACAGCAUGUAAAUACUAACCAAAAGAAUACUAGCAUUAUUGAUAGCAAUAUAGAAUACUAAUGUUAGUAAAGAACAGUUUGAAAAAGAAAUAUAUAGGACAUAAACACCAAUAAAAAAAAUCCUAGUAUUACUGAUAGUAAUAUAGAAUAUUGAUAUAUCAGUAGAGUUUAAACAUUACUAAGACAUAUGCCCACCAAAGACAUGUACAAAAAUAUUUAGAGCAGUUUUUUCAUAAUAGCAAAAAUUAAAAACAGCGCAUGUAUUCAUCAACAAUGGAAAAAGUUGUUAUAAUGUAUGCUCUUCUCACUGCCUCUUCCAAUCACCACCACCCCCACUAUCUUGACCUCUAAUGUGAUCACUAUCUUGACCUCUAAUACUACAGAUUAGAUUUCCCUGUCUUUGAAAUUUAUAUAAAUCAAACCAUAUAGCAUGUGGUAUUUUGUAUCUUCUUUUUUUCACUCUACAUUUUGUUUGGGAGAUUCUGGUUGACAUUAUUGUGUAUGAUUAUAGUUCAUUAUCAUUCUGUAUAUUACUUCAUUACAUGGCUAUACCACAGUUAUUUUCCAUGCCACUGUUGGUUGCCUCAGUUUUCUCAUAUGUAAAAUAGUGAUAAUAAUACCAACUUAUGAAAUUAAAUGAACUAAUACUUGUAAAGCAAUUCUUAAAAGCUCUAUGAAAAUGUUUGACUAAAACUAUAUGGAAUAUAUGUCAUUUCGAACUAUAUAUUUUCUUUAUCUUUUUUUCUUCUAAUGAAAAGGACAAAUCCUUUUUAAAUAUUUCUUUAAGUUCCCAUCAAUCCUAUGGUGUUAUGUCUCUUAUUCACAAAUUAAUUCACUUAAAAACAUUAAACACAAUAUAUUUCAGACCAUAUGCUAUCUCUCAGGGAAUCUGGGACACCAUGUGGACAAGUAUUUACAGUGUAAUAAUUGCUAUUUAUACAAAAUAGAUUAAUCCAUGGUUUACCUUGUUCUUUAGAUAUUUUUAUUUAAAAUUUUCUGUCUUAGUGCCAAGGUAACUUAUAACGAGAAUUUAAUAACUACAAAAACCCUGUAUGUUUUCAUUGGCCAUGAGGAUGCAACAGAAAGUAAAGAAAUUAUUGAAAGCAUCCUUUACAGAUAUGAAAAUGUUUUGUUCCUCUUUAUAGAUUAUGACAGGCUGCUAGGGACCCCCUUUGUGAUGGACAUGAGAGAGAUAAACAGAAAUGCUUUCUUCUUGAAAGAUGUCUGUACAAUCUAAAACAAUUAAUCUUGCUGGAGUGAGUCAGCUCUAAUGGUGCUGCCUGGCAUAGGCCAUUCAUCAAAGCCCACCAACCCAUCACACAGAACCAGUCACACUGCUUGGCAGGCCUGCCACUCUGCCACAUGCCUAGAUUCCUGGAAAUCUAUGUAAGGCAGAGCAAGCCCUGGGAAGUUAUUUGUGUUUGUCUUAAAAAAAAAAAAGGGAAUCUGAAGCUAUUCUUAUUUAAUGCUACUGAUUCUAAUGAAGAUGUCAAUGAAAAACUACCUCCUCUCCUGACACAAAGCUCAUCUAUUUUGACAAAUAAGUCUGGCAAUGUGUCCUCCUCUCAAACUCAAAACUCUAGGCAUGACAGAUCAUCCUUGUCAGCAUAAGCACAUUUUCUAAUAUCACUCAUUAAAAAAAAUAAAACUUUCACUAGAGAUGACAGCCUCCUACAGCUACUGCCCAUUUUUCUGAUCCCUAUUUUUAAAAAUAUUUCUUUACUUUUCAUUUCUUCUUGAAUAUCCUCUAGUAGGACUUCUGUUUCUCUGUUGAAAUCAUUCAUGUUGGCUCGCUAAUGACACACUUCUCGCCAUACUCAAUAACUAAACUUUAGUUCUCUCUCUCUCUCUCUCUCUCUCUCUCUCUCUCUCUCUCUCUCUCUCUCUCUCUCUCUCUCGGAUACACACACACAUCACUUCUUUCACUUCUCUUCAACUGGUUAGGCUCUGAUUUCUAAAUCUUCUUUGCUAGUUUCUGAUCUUUUUAAUGGUUGGAUGUUGGCAUGCUCCAGAACUCAGCCCUCAGCCUCUUGUCUUCUCCAUACUUACUCCCUUGGUCAUCUCAUCUUGUCCAAUGGUUUUAAACAGCAGUAUUGUGCAACCAAUUCCACAAUUUGAUAAAUGUAGCCUGGACCUCUCCCAGACUCCACAUUUUUAUAUUCAGCUGCCUAUUUGAUGACUCUACUUAAAUAUCUAAGAGGCAUCUGAGCAUAAUACAUCCAAAUUAGAACUCUUGGUUUCCCCUUAAAACAUGAUUAUCUCCUAGUCUUUAUAAUCUUGGCAAAUGUUACAUAUCCUGACACAAAUGUCUAAAACCUUGUAGUCACGUUUCAACCUCUUAUCCUCACUACACUUCCUAUAAAAUCAACCAAAAGUCUUGUUGACUUAAAUUUCAAAAUACAUUCCAUGUUCGAUACUUCUCACCACUUCUACUACUUCUCUGAUCCCAGCUGUUAUCACCUCUCACUUUGACAAUUCAAAACACCCCUAACUGGUCUCCCUCCACCUUUCUUCAGUGGAUUCUUUAUUGAUAUAUACUUCUUUGAAAAUAAAUAUCAAGCUUUUUUUUUUUUUUGCUUGAACAUUUUAAUGGUUCCCUAUGGCAUGAGAAUCAGUUUCAAACUCUUCACCGGGGCCCUCAAGGAGCUGUGUGAUAUAUGCAUCUCUUGAACACGAUCUCUUUUCACUUCUCUCACUCCUCUUCAGUGCCACUAGCCUCCUGGCUAAUGCUGAAAUGUUUUUCUGCCCUCCAACUUUGUUCUUACUAAAUUUUCGUUGGACAUACUUCCCUGAGAGCUGGAACAUGGAUUCCUUCUCACUUUAAUGAUCUGAUCAAAUUUCACUUUUUACAGAAGACUUCCCUGAUUGAUCACAUUCCUUUCUCCUAUGAUUCUCUAUGACAUUACCAUGUUUUUUUUUUCUUGAAAGCAUUUGCCUGCAAUUUAUAUUACAUUUUAUAUUUAUUUUAUUGUUUGUUAUCCAUCAACCCCAAUAAAAUGUAUGUUCCAUGAGGAUAGGAGAUCGACCUCUUUUAUCACCUUUGUUUCACCUGUUUUCAGAAGAGUGCCUGGUGCAUGUUAGGUACUCAAUAAUUAAUGUUGAAUAAGUGGAGUUUAAAAAAAAGAUUUAGUUGUACAAAUGUAAUUUUGUUACAUGGAUAUAUUGCACAAUGGUGAAGUCUGGACUUUUAGGGUGCCCAUCACUCAAAUAGUGUUCAUUGUACCCAGUAGGUAAUUUCUCAUCACUCAUUCCCCCUCCCCCAUCCCACCUUUUAGAGUCUCUAAUGUCUAUUAUUGUACUCUAUCAGUUCAUCUAACCCAUUGUUUAGCUUCCAGUUAUAAGUGAGAACAUGUAACAUUUGACUUCAUGAGUUAUUUCACUUACAAUAAUGGUCCCAAGUUCCAUCUAAGUUUUUGCAAAUCAUAUCAUUUUCUUCUCUUUUUAUGGCUGAGUAGUAUUCCAUGAGGUAUACAUUUAUCACAUUUUCUUUAUCCAGUCAUCUAUUGAUGGACACUUAGGUUGAUUCCAUGACUUUGCUAUUGUGAAUAGUGCUAUGAUAAACAUACAAGUGCAGCUGUCUUUCUGAAUGAGUGGACAUUCAUUUUAGAAUGAAAGCAUAGUGAUAGACAAUCUAAUAAGGUUUAUCUUUUUUUGAAAGAGGCAAAAUCAGCUUUAUUCAUAUUUUUUAAUCAGGUGGUUAAGGAAAAAUAAAAUGUGUAGCAUAUUACAUAGAUUAUUAUAAGGGGUAAGACAAGUAUGUGCAGCACAACUGACCAGGUCAUUUUUUCUUUUUCGAGACAAAGCUAACAAAAGAUGUUUUUUUUAGUUCACUUUUAUUUUUGGUUCAGGGGUACAAGGGCAAGUUUGUUAUACAGGUAAAUCACCUGUUAUGGGGGUUUGGUAUACAGAUUAUUUCAUCACCCAGGUAAUCAGCAUAGUUCCCAACAGGAAGUUUUGUAAGCUUUGUCCUCCUCUCAACCUCCACUCUCAAGUAGGCUCCAGUGUCUGUUCCCUUCUUUGUAUCAGUAUGUACUCAAUGGGUAGCCUCCACUUAUAAGUGAGAAUAUGAGAUAUUUGGUUUUCUGUUCCUGUGUUAGUUUUCUUAGGCUAAUGGCCCCAACUUUAUCCCUGCUGCUGUAAAGAACAUGAUCUCGCUCAUUUUUAUGUCCGUAUUUCAUGGUGUAUAUGUACAACGUUUUCUUCAUACAGUCUACCAUUGAUGGGCAUCUAUGUUGAUUCCAUGUGUUUCCUAUUGUUAAUAGUGCUGCAACGAAUAUAAUGGUGCAUGGUAAAAUGAUUCAUUUUCCUUUGGGUAUAUACUCCAUAAUGGAAUUGCUGAGUCAAAUGGAAACUGUUUUCAGUUCUUUGAGAAAUUGCCAAACCGCUUUCUACAAUGGCUGAGCCAUUAAUAAUUUACAUUUCCACCAGCAGUGUAUAAGUGUUUCUUUUUCUCUGCAAACUCACUAGCAUCUAUUAUUUUUUUCCCUUUUUAAUAACAGCCACUCUGACUAGUGUGAGAUAGUAUGUCAUUGUGGUUUUGAUUUGCAUUUCUCUAAUGAUUAGUGAUGUUUUUUCAUAUGCUUCUAGGGCCCAUACAGCUAUUCUUUUGAAAACUAGCUUUUCAAGUCCUUUGCUCACUUUUUAAUGGUGGUGUUUUUCACCUGUAAAUUUGUUUAAGUUUCUUAUAAAUGCUGAAUAUCAGACCUUUGUUAGCUGCAUAGUUUGCAAAUAUUUUCUCCUAUUCUUUAGGCUGCCUGUUUGUUGAUAGUUUCCUGGCUGUGCAGAAACUCUUUACUUUAAUCAGAUACCAUAUAUCAAUUUUUGUUCUUGUUAUAAUUGCUUUUGGUGUCUUCAUCAUGAAGUCUUUGCCAGGUCCUAUAUCCAGAAUGGCAUAUCCUAGGUUAUCUUCCAGAGUUUUUAUACUUUUAGGUUUUACAUUUGGGUCUCAAUCCAUCUUGAGUUGAUGUUUCAUAUAUUAUAAGGAAGAGGUCUAGUUUCCAUCUCCGAGUUUCCAGGGAACUCAACCAUCUCAGGCAGUCUCCAGUCUGCUGCUGCUGGCCAGCUGGAAUUCCAAGCCAAUAGGUCUUAACUUGUGAGGUGCCAUGGGAGUGGGGCCUGCUGAAUGUAGCCUCUUAGCUCCCUGGCUUCAGCCCUCUUCCUAUGGGAAUGGACAGAUCUCCUGGCUCAUCAGAAUUACUGGGACUAGAAUUUGCAAAAACUCCUGCAUUUCCAUGCCUGCCCAACUGGGCACUGAGAAUCUACACAGCUCUCUGCCUCAGCCCAAGGCCCUGGUGGCAUGGGCUCAUGAGGGGCAGGUUGCAAAGAUUUGUGGCAGAAGUGCGGUCUUCUGGGUGAGGUCACACAAUCACUCACCAACUCUCUUGGCUGGGGGUGAGAAUUCCCUUUGCUCUGUGCUGCCCCUGGGUGGGCCAUCACCACCCCCUAUUUUCCUCACUCUUCCCUGACACGCUGACCACCAAGUCAGUCCCAAUGCAAGAACCUGAAAACCUAGGUUAAAGGUGUAGAAUUCAUUCAUGAUUUUGUUCUUCUCUGUGAGAGCUGCAGACUGUAGCUGCUUCUAAUAGGCCAUCUUGGCCCACCUAAUAUUUUUUCUUUCAACUUUGAAAAAUCUGAUGAAUAUGUGUCUCAGGGAAGGUAUUUUUGUGUAGUAUUUUGCAGGGGUUCUAUGCAUUUUCUGAAUUUGAAUGUUGGUCUUUCUAGAAAGGUUUGGGGAAUUUUCAUGGACAAUAUCCUGAAAUAUGUUUUCCAAGUUGUUUGCUUUCUCUUUAUUUUUUAUUUUUAUUUUUUUGAGAUGAAGUCUCACUCUUGUGGCCCAGGCUGCAGUGCAAUGGUGUGAUCUCAGCUCACCACAACCUCUGCCUCCCAGGUUCAAGCGACUCUUCUGCCUCAGCCUCCCAAGUAGCUAGGAUUAUAGCCAUGUGCCACCACACCCGGCUAAUUUUGUAUUUAUAGUAGAGAUAGGGUUUCUCCAUGUUGGUCAGGCUAGUCUUGAACUCCCUACCUCCGGUGAUCACCCACCUCAGCCUCCCAAAGGGCUGGGAUUACAGGUAUGAGCCACCAUACCCAGCUGCUUUUUCUUUCAGGGACACCAAUGCGUCAUCUAUUUGGUCUUUUUACAUAAUCCCUUACUUCUUAGAGGUUUUGUCCAUUCUUCUUUGCUGUUCUUUCUUUAUAUUUGUCUGACUGUGUUAUUUCAGAGAGCCAGUCUUUGAGCUCUGAGAUUCUUUCCUUAGCUCUGAAAUUAUUUCCCUAGCAAUUCUGCUGUUAAUACUAGCAACUGUAUUCUGAAACUGUCAGUUUUUUAAAUCUAUCAGAUGAGUUUGGUUCUUUCUUAUAAUGGUCAUUUCAUUCAUCAGCUCAUUAUAUUUUUUAUCCUAAUCCUUAGAUCCUUGGAUUGGGUUUCAACUUCCUCAUAAAUGUCAAUCAUCUUCAUUCAGUUUCCAUAUUCUGAAUUCAGUUUCUGUCAUUUCAGCCAUUUCAGCUUGGCUAAGAACCAUAGCUGGGGAAGUAGUAUGGUCAUUUGCAGGUAAAAAAGACACUCUGACUUUUUGAGUUGCCAGAGUUCUUGUACUGGUUCUCUCCCAUCUGUGUGAGUUAAUGUUCCUUCAGUCUUUGCAGCUGCUGUCCUUUGGACGGGUUCUUUCUUUUCUCCUCUUUGCCAUCCUUGUGGUGAUGUCCUUAUUGUGGUAUAAGGCAGGUUCAGUUGACUAGCUCCUUACUGGAAGAUUUUAGGGGGGCAGGGCUCAGCUCAGGACUCCCAGGCUAUGUGCUCUAACUCUUAGGAGCUGGCAUUGGGCUCCCACCUUUGUUCUUUGGCCCCUCACAGUUAGGAACCUGCUGCACUGGGGGCUCAGGUGCUCCCAGACUGCUCAUCACAACAUUCCAAUGGGUGGUGCCAGCCAAAGAGCUUUUUAGGCGGUGGUAGUAGAAUCUGUGCUCACUUGCAUGUAUCAGUAGCAGUGGCAGCAUGGCAGGGUGCACACUUGUAGGCCAAGGCAGGGCGCUGGUAGGUGAAUGGUAGUGCCACUCUCCUGCGAUGUUUACAGCAGCAGCGGUGGCAGGAUGUCCACUGUUGUUCAUGUGCAGAUUUAUGCAGUAUUGGCACAGGGGUGGGGUUCUGGUAGAUGUGAGGCCGGUGCCCUCUACAUGCAUGUUCAUGCUGGUGGCAGUGGUGGCACAGGGUGGGGAGUAGGACAUUGGUUUCCAGGCACAGGUUUGUGCCAGUGGUAUCAAUGCAAGGAUACAGCGCUGGUGAAAGUGGUGCAAACAGUCUCCAUGCUCACAAUUGUGCCAGUGUCAAUGGUGGCAGAGAAUGGCAGGCAGGGCUGCUGGUCUUAUGUGCAUCCAUGUUGGCAAUGGUGGCAUGGCAGGGAGCAGGGUGUGCUCACACCAGCAGCAAUGGUAUGGUGGGGUAUAUAUGCAAAUACCUGCCAGUGGUGGGGGAAGAAAAGGAAGGUCCACCUGCUCCCACAUGCCCCACCAAGCAAUUGAGGGGGGUUGGUCAUGGGUGUGCUGGCAAAGCAGUAUAGAGACCGCUGCAGUUGGAGGAGGGUGCAGGUGGGCUGGUGAACGUCAGUGGGAGGCCACUCUGCUGGAACUCUCUGUCAGUUAUGCCUGGUCUACCCGUGCAUGAGGUAUGAUGUGGGCAGCUGUGGCUGCACUGCAAGCAGGUGUGGUCAGGCCAGGGCCCUAAGAGAGGCCAAUAGACAGGGAAGUGCUCAGGUCAGACUGGCCUCAUCUGAUAGGCAAGAUUGCCCUGCUCUGUUCAGGUCCAGUGGUUCCUCUAAGGCUAAAGUCUCCUAGGGGAGCAAGGGAAGCCUUUGGAGACAGGCAUCCCUGGCUGUGCUCCACUACAGACACUCCCAUACCAAAUCUUCUAGGAUCUGUGCCAGCAGGAGUUCUGUACCUACCACCUCUCUAAGAUGCUCUUCCCACCAGUUCAAGUGUCUGGGGGUGAGGGGGGACAUGGGGUCUUCUACUGCCAAGAUUCUGGAGGCCAGUGGUGAGAGCAGGUUGCUUUUCUCCUGCUUAACUCACCCCUUCCCCAGAACUUGCUCAGGGCCAGAAGUGAGUCUUCGGUACAUGGUAGUCUUGUGCAGAGUUCCCAGCUUUCUUCCCCUUCAACCCAGCAUCUCUGUCCUCCCUCCGUCUGCUCUCAGUGCCUCCCCUCCGAAGAUCUGCUUGGAGUGCGCCAGUCUUCCUGAUGUUCUGGUCACUUGGUGGCAGAUGUUCCUCCUGGCUGCAUCUGGUUGGCUAUCUUACCUCAGGUCUAAGGUCUCUUCUUAUUCUCGGUUUUUUUGGUUCCAAAUCAUUAAAUAUUGUCUCCAUAAGAACUAUCAUCAUGUCUCAACUUCCUAUGAAAUAGAUAUUUGGAAGAAUAUGGGUAAAUGGCAAAGGAAUUUGUGAUGAAUAGACUGUGAGGAAGCUAAUACAGGGAAAACUGAAAUGCAAGGGAGCUAUAAAAUUCUCAGAAAUGCAGUGAAGAAGGUAACGAAAAAAUAAUCUGGAAAAAAUAAGCUUCUAUGUGGAUAAUCGAAUGUUUAUAAUAUAGAUUUAGUAAUUACCUUCCUUGUAUAUAUGGCUUCCUAAGCCAGAUAAAUACACCACUCUCCCCUGGAGAUUUGAUAGCUAAAGCUAUCAAAAUACAUAAUGAUAUUCCAACAAUUAUUCCAGACCCCUCCUGCCCUGCCAUCUGGUUUUCACUGCUUUCUUAACCAUAUCCACCUCUGAACUCCUGGCUUUAGAACCCUAGCCUCAAGUCUUACUUCUGCACCACUACUAUUGAUUUUGACCUCAUUCACAUUCCUGACUUGACUUACAACUCCAGCUCUCUCCAGCCCUUGACCUUCAGUGAGACUCUUCUUGCUUUACUAUUUGCCUCAAGAAACUAAAACUGGGGCCCCAAGAGCCACUAACUCCCUGGACUAGCCCUGUUUCCCUUGACAGAGAGUGAUUCUGACAGAUUAGAAAAACCAAACUUCUAUAUCAAAGGAAUUUGAAUUCUGAGUUAAUCUCUUGUAAUGAAUUUAUAAAGUAAUAAUCAAUGGAUUUAGUUCCAUUCCAGGCCUUUCUGUAUUCUUUACAUGAUAUACUAAUUAAUUAAAUAAAAUAAUGCAUUUAAAGUGCUUAGCUCGCUAUUGAGCACUUACUGUGAUUAUUAGUAUAUUACUGUAAACUGCCUUAGGAACAGAAGUAAUCAGGCUCAAUUGAUGGAUUUGAUCACAUUUUCCAAGUGUAUUAAAUAAGUCUGUUUUAAAAUUUUAAUUGCUAGUUACUUUUCACAAAGUUGAUCCUUUCUUUUUCCUGAAGGUACCACUAAAUUUUUCUUUUUAUGUAUUCAUUUAGCUUAUACUUAAUUGUAUUUUAAAAGAUUCUUUAAUAUUUGGAGUUUUAAAACUGCUCAAAUUCUUACUUUCAAGAGCCAUAAUAAAAUACUUACAUUUUAGUUUACUUAGUAGUAAACUAGUUAAUUUUAAAAUUUUUAUCUCAGAAGGAUAGUGAUGGGAACAUUAGCAGUUAUUCCAAUUUCACUUUAUCAAAUACCGUUUUACCAAGAAUCAGAUAACAAAUAAAUACUAAGUGAAAAAGACAAUAGGCAAAGUGCUAAAUGGAAAAUUGGGCAAUGUAUCUUUCAUUCAUUUAGAGACGUAAUUGAUGCCUAUGGCUUAGUAUAUUGGAAGUAUAGCCCAGUGAAGCAAGACUGGUGGGACUGUUGCAGGCAAUUAGGCAUGAGCAGGGCAGGAGAGGGCUCUCCCUGCCUCACCCACUAGAAAUGUCAGGUGAUGGUUUGGCAAUUAUCGCAUUGCCUCUCUAAAAGCUAUAAAUUGGCAGCCAAAGCCAGGGCCUUCCAUUUAUAUUUUCUCUUCGACUUUAACGUACACUCUUGGAUCUCUCCAAGUUAACUUCCCUUUCUUUUAAAUAAACUUCCCCUGCUGUUCUGUAAUUUGCUUCGAUCUCUUUCUUCUGAGGAGGCAAUAACUGAAGUUGCUGCAGACACAUAUGGAUUAGCCACUGGCAACUCGAGGUACCUUGGAUCUCUUCCACUCUUAACAUAUCAGUCAACUUGUUUUAUUUAAAAGACAGUAAACAUGCAAUAACUGCAGUGGUGAUUAAGAUAGAAAAGAUAUUUACUCUGAUGGAGUUUAUGGUUUAGUGGUGAGGGAAGGGGUAGAAAGCAUGCAAGUUAAAAAAAUGAACAAAAUAAUUUGAAAGAUUAAAUUACUUCCUAAUCCUCUAUCUUUCAAGCAUUAUUGGUGUAAGCGCAUAUGUGGGGGAUGGACAUGAAUCCCAUAUGACAAUUUUGUCAAAAUCUUCAGAUAACUGAGGAAAGGGAGCACCUUUCCUCAUCUUCAUUAUUUCUUUAUAUGAUUUGAAGCUGUUCAGGGUCUAAAUAAUGAUUCUUUUCAAAUUAAGAACAUGUUAUGAAAGUCAGUGAAAGGGCCCUGAGGUCUUCAAAACCUGGGAACAUCUUUCUUGGAGGACAAAACCUGGUGGGUUGUGCUCCAAGGUUUUCUCUCUACUGUGUAUGCAUCUGAAGAAGCCUUUCAUUAAUCUCAGACUACUACCCAGAAAUUUCAAACUUGACCUAACCCCAGAAAAUCACUUGGGUAACCUAAAGAAGCAUUUAACCUCCAGGGUUGGUUCAUGACUAGAGGAGAUCCCAUUCUUGAGUAUGUCCAGUAAGCGGUGGGAUUCCUUAAACUAUCCAAAGCCGAAUCCUUAUCUCUAAUUAGAAGAAGCUCAAGGGAACCCUAAGCUCCUCUCCUUCCUUAAAAGCACUGCACAGGUUAGAGGUAACCCAGCCUGGUGGCUGUGAUAUGAAUGUUGUAACUACCAUAUAACCAAUAGGUGUACCACAUUCCUGAUGUUUUCUGUUCCAGAUCAACAACUGAACCCCAAAGUGGAUAAUAAAAUAAAAUCCCAAAGUAUUUGGAAUAAAAUCUCUUCUCUUAUGCAUAUAAUUUUUUUUCCAAAUCUCAUAGGUAGGUAGCGUAUCAAGACGGAAUGAGACAGAAAACAUAGUAAUUUGAACAGGGAAUUUUACUAUAAAUAUUAUGAACAGAAUUAACUAGGGAGGACUAAGGAAUGCUAAAGAAUACUCCAGGGUGGAGGAAGAAUACUCAAUGAAGAAAUGAAUUUGGAAGCUCCUCUAAGUCUGGGGUUCAGACUUCAUUGGAAAAGAUAUUGUUAGUACCCUUUGGAUGGCAGAGAAGUUUACUGGGUUUCUCCAGGCCAGACUAAUUCACAAUUGCUGGGUAAUCAGGAAAUACUCCUCCAUAGUACAUCUGAGUUGAAGUAGGCAGACCCAAUUGCAGCUAGACCUGGCAAGUCAGAAAUACACUUCCGAAGUGCAGGUGGACUGAGACUGGUAGGCAGGGAAGUAGAGCUGGAAGUACAGCUGGAACUAACAAGAAGGAAUUGCCCCUCCAAGGUGCAGGUGGGCCACAGCUGUGAAGCUGACUGCAGCAGUGCUUACAAGACUCACUAGGAAUCCACAGAUGGAGGUAUGAAUGGAACUUGACAGGAAGCCAUCUACAGAAUUACCACAUAAACUUGAAGGGGAUGAGUACUACUAUGUGUGUCACUGGCAAACAGCAUGAGGAGCAAGAAGAAGCACCUAGAAUCACAGUGGCAUCCAAGAGAAAAGCCCCUUCUUCCUCACUGUUCCUCCAGUGCCCUCUACUGACCAAGUUUAACAUCAUGCCAACUACAAAGGAAAAAUGCUUAGAGGUUCCAUCUCCAUUAUUUAAAAGCAUGUAGUGAUGGGUGGAUUUGGAGCUGAAAGGCAAUAAAUUGAUAGUUGGCACAGAUCACCAGACUACGUCUUUGGCUACUCAGUUUCCACAUGCACCCUUCUAACACAUUUGAGUUUCCAUGCCACAAUAAAAUAACCCUAAAUUUCUACCUAACAAGAUUCAGCUAUUUUACUUACAAAUGAUGCAGUUCUUAUUCUUUCCCCAAAACGAGGAGAUACAUAGUCCCAGUAGUCAUUGUAUCCAUAGCCUACUGUAUUAGUUAUUCCUCAAGUUUUUCCAUAGCUCCACUGAAUAUGCUGUUACUUAAAGACUAAGUUGUAAAGUUAAUUUCCACCAACUAUACAUAAAAGUAGAAGGAAGAAAGAAAAAAAGAAUGUUAAUAUAUACAGACAUUAGAAACAAAAAGCAUUAUGCAAAAUACUAUAAUCCUUGUUUCUGUACUUGGUCAUUAGACUGUAGAGUUGACCCUUGAACAACAAAGAGGUUAAAGGUACCAACCCUCCAUGCAGUCAAAAAUCUACUCUUUUAACUUCCUCAAAGCUAUUAAUAGCCUACUGUUGACUAAAAUGCUUACCAAUAACAUUAACACAUCUUUAUGUUACAUGUAUUAUAUACUGCAUUCUCACAAUAAAGUAAGCUAGAGAAAAUAAAAUAUUAAUAAGAAAAUCAUAAGAAAGAGACAAUAUGUUUAAAUGAAAGUGAGUCAUCAUAAAGUCUUCAUACUUGUCAUCUUCACGUUGAGUAGGCUGAGGAAGAGGAAAAAUAGGAGGGGUUGGUCUUGCUGUCUCUGGGGUGGCAGAGGCAGAAGAAAAUCUAUGUACAAGUGCACUCACACAGUUCAAACCUGUUAUUCAAGGUUGACUUUAGUUGAUACCUAAGACUUCCUUUGUCCACUGGCCAUGUCAUAUUUGCUUUGCCCUUAGCCAGAACCUCAGCUGGUUGACCAUUCUUUGCCUGGUGGAAUAACCCAGAUGUUCAUUCCUGAAGUGUCUGAGUCCUCACAUACCCUGCCUUUGUUUGUUUGUUUUGUUUUUUAGUUGCUAUACUUUUCUGCUGACUUUUGCUAUUGAGCAUGAAAGAAUUAAAGACACCACAGAGAAUUGAUCAUAUUUCAAACAUGGUCCUCCUCACCUCUAUUGUUAACAGUAGCCCAGUUUCUCCUUGAUUAUUGGAAUUACCGUUUUAACCAGAAAAGUAGCUCUUCUUUUUCAAAAGAAAACUUCCAUGCUUCAUUCCCUUUAGUGACUAGCAUCCACAGACAAGCAGAAUGCAAAGUUGCUGGGACAGGAAGCAAAAACUCUGUGAGUAGGGUACUAUGUGAUAUUUUGAGAAGAACAUUGCCAGUCCUACUCUUUGAUUUCCAGACGGAUGCAUUCCGGCAAUAGAAAAGUCAAUCUUAUAUAAUGAACUCUGACUCAAAGCAUAUACUAAGCAUACCCUUGUAAAAUAGAACCCCAUUCCUGUAUUGUCUCUCAACUGAUACCAUACCUGACUGGUUUAGUAAGCCAUUCCACCUCUAAAUUGGUCUAGCCACUUCUGAGUGACAGGGGAUGUGGUAAAGUUAGUUAAAUGUAUCAGCAUAAGCCCAUUGUUACAUUUCUUUUGCUUUGAAAUGAGUUCCUUGAUCACACACGAUUAUAUGUAGAAUGCCAUGAAGAGGAUAAGUUAUUCUGUGAAUUCAAUGCUGGCAGAAGCGUUAAAGGCAGGAAAGGCAAAUCUGUAUCAAAUAUAUGUCUACUCCAAGAGACAAAUAUCUUCUCCCUUUAUGAUGGAAGACAUCCAAUGUAAUUAAUCCGCCACCACUUCCUGGUACUUCCAGGAAAUAAUGCUAUAUUGGGGGCUCAAUUCUUCUCUGCUGUUAGCAGAUUAGGCAAUCAGCAGUAGUGCAGCCAGAUCACCUUUUGUAAGUGCACACCAUGAUACUGAGCCCAUGUACACCUCCGUCACUGACAUCAUGGCCACUUUGCUCAUAGGCCCAUUGUACAAGCCGUGGGCUAACUGGGGAAAUCUAGCUGACUGACUACUAGAGAACAUGCCACCUUAUCCACCUGACACCCCUUGGCAGGCAUUAAUAUAGAAAAACAAAUAUUUUCACAGUUUGUGUCCAUUAAGAGGUCCAUUCACAUACUUUUUUUUUUUUUUUUUUUUUUUCUGAGACAGUCUUGCUCUGUCACCCAGGCUGGAGUGCAGUGGCACUAUCUUCACUCACUGCAACCUCUGCCUCCUGGGUUUAAGCAAUUCUCAGACCUUAGCUUCCUGAGUAGCUAAGAGUGCAGGCACAGACUACCACGCCUGGUUAAUUUUAGUAUUUUUCUUUAGUAGAGAUGGGGUUUGCUAUGUUGGCAAGGCUGGUCUUGAAUUCUUGGCCUCAAGUGAAUGACACUUCAUACUGAAUCCAACUACAAGACUCCCUAGAUUCAUUUAAUCCUAGCUGGCUCCCAGGCCUUGCCAACUUGCUCAGUGGAAUCCUACCAGUGGUCACUGUCACUUUUCACUUAAUAUUUACCACUCUCCCAAUCUUUCCCAUAGUGAUGUCUAGACUUAGACAUAAGUCUAUGACUCCUUCCAUGGAAGAAAUCACAGCAAAUUUACCAUCUCCUGUCCAACUACACAAUACCAUACUAUGGGAAGUAUGACCUGGAUUUGCCAAUAGAAUUCCAAGUGGCCAGGUUAUAUAACUCAGAAUUGCAAUGACAUUAGCAUCCAUGACAUAAAUGUUGACUAAGAGAGCUACAAGAGUCAAGUAUAAACUGGCAAAUAAAUCUAUUCAUUUCCUUCUGCUGCUGAUUAUUCCAAGGCACAGAGAUUCUAGACCUCAUCUCAGGAGACAUUCUUUAUCACUGAACAGCUGCCAUUUUUUGAGUAUGAUUCUAUAAACUAGUUAAAAAAUGAUUUUGUAUUUGUUUUCCUUUUUCCCUAUCUCACUUCCUUUCUUCCUUUUUAUUACUCUGGGAUUGUACUCCCCAAGAAAGCAUUAUUAACAUAUAUGCUUUGUCUCAAGCUCUGUACUGUAGGUAAUCAGGGCUGAUAUAUGUCAUAGGUAUUCUAGGCAAUUUUUUAAAAGGGAAAUUAUAAUGAUUCUUGUGUGUUGCUACCUGGUCCUCACUUAUUCUGUUUGUUAUAUUGGAUUUCCAUAAGUUGUACUUUAAAAUCUCAUUCUACAAUUUAUUGAAGUUUUAAGUUAUAGUGAUUUUUAAAUUGUAAGAUAAUCUCAACAGUGGUUCAGUGGAGGCAUGAAUGGAGGAAGAGAUUUACAGCAAAUCUAAAUUAAAUCACAUGGAUUAUCAUAGUUUACUUUUUUAAUUCUGAAAAUUUAUUUUAACAGGUAAAAUAAUAGGUCCCUAUGGCAUUUAACAAACAACUGCUCUUCACCAGCAUUCCCAAUAGUCUUACCCAGUGGCAUUUAUUGAAUAGUUAAAGACAAUGCUAAAAUUGUGCUUCUUUUGGCCAACAAAUGGAAAACCCAGAUGCCAAGGUGAAAAAGAUUUGUUCUUUGGUAGUAGCUACAGCAGCUGUCUAUUUGGCAUAUUCCUUAGAAAUCUUCAAAGUUGCCUAGGAUACAGACUUUGUAAACUGGGAUCCUGCAGAGCCUUUAAAAGAUUUUUUUGUUUAAUGCAAGACCUAUGUCGACAUUAAAUUAGCAAUAUAGCUUCUAAUCUACACAUAUACACAUAUCCAUUGACUUGCAGAUCUAUGAAAACAGGGCAUAUAAUGAAUAAUACAACUUGUGGGAUCAAAUAAACCGCACAUAUUUUGUCAUGACAAAGAAAAUAUGACCCACAUGCAGCUUGGAAGCUUUACUUUGGAAGUAAACAUUUGAGGAUCAUAUUCCUGAAAAGCUUUUCGGCAAUGCUUAGACCUAAGUUUCUGCAUUAAUCAAUAAUUAUACAAUUGCCCUCAGUAAUACUAAUUUAACAAUUUAGUUUAACAAGCAAGUAGAAAUCAGCGUAACACAAUCCUAGCCAUAAUAUGUUAUGAAACACUGUCAAAAUGAAGUAAAAGGUGAUAGGGUCAGUGUUUAAAUCAUUGAAUUCUAUACUUAAAAUGGAUGAAUUUUGUGGUGUGUAUUAUACCUCAAUAAUGCUUUUUAUAAAAAAUUUAAAAAUUACAGAUUAUUGUAAAGAAAACAGUAGCUAUAUGGGAGCAUGUACACACUCAAACAUAUGUGCACAUACCCUCUUCUGCAGGCUGAAAUUCCAACAUCUGUGUCUUAGCCACUUAAAAUCAUCUCUAGACACCUGACUCCACAUGCAUACCACUAUGUGAAUGAGCAGUUACGAGUGACUGGCUUCAGACUAUUGCUAAAUUUGCCAUCCUCGUAACUUGGUUGUAAUCACCAAAAACCUCAUGUUGUUAACUUCUAUAGCUGAUUAGAUGUCCCCCAGUAUACGGUAAAUUUUGGCCAUAAAUAAAAGACAGUUUUACAUUACUCAAUUUAGGCACCUGUGUCUCAACAUGUUAGAUAACUGGAAUACACUAGUAGCUGUUCCUUUCAUAAAGAAUGUUCAAUGUACUCCAAGAAAGGGGAAAUACUGAGGCAGACAGAUUGAUGGUAUUUUACACUGAAGAAAAGACCUUUGAAAGUUUGCCAGACUUUGAGAAAGGGUCAGCCAGAGCGCCCCCCUCCCCCACCCCACCGAAAAGGAGGCAGUGUUCCCAUCUUCCUGUCAAUAACACUUAGCAUGCUGAGUUGUUUUAUCAGACAGAUGGUGGACCAUGCACCAUUAUGACCAAUACAGUGUUGUCAGUUGUGCAAAGGGUCCCAUGAAUUGUUAAGCUCCUCUGCCACCUCAGAGAUGGCUCUGUUUGUGCCACCGUUUACAAUUUUGUUGUGUAAAUUCUCUGUUCCUAAUGUCAAGAAGGAUACAUUGUAAGGACACUUGGAUGUUAAAAUCAACUUUGAAGACUUUAAUUCAGUUUUAAUAGAUUUUUGACUUAUCAAAAGCCUACUAAUGUUACUGUUAGUAAUGAUACAAUUAAGAUUUUAAUUAAAUCAUAAGAUUUUUUCAAAUUAAAAAUUCUCAAAUCUAUCUUAGCAUUUCAAUUGAUACAUACUUUCUUCUGAAUUUAAAAAUCAAUUUGAAAACGAAUUUAGAUAUUCUAAACCUGAAGGGGGAUAUCUUUUUUUCUACAAAAUGCAUUUUGCAAAUUCUUCAAAUUGAAAUAAGAGGUCCUUUCAAAUUUAAGAGGGGGUUUAUUGUUUUU
Non-coding RNA from Callithrix jacchus (white-tufted-ear marmoset), 44996 nucleotides. NCBI's taxonomy places the organism in Eukaryota, Metazoa, Chordata, Mammalia, Primates, Cebidae. The record is from RefSeq and is a predicted model, not a curated record.